RNAcentral lists this long non-coding RNA (55018 nucleotides) under Malus domestica (apple). RNAcentral's name for it is "long non-coding RNA (MDOM_LNC009022)". The record is from RNAcentral. Lineage: Eukaryota; Viridiplantae; Streptophyta; Magnoliopsida; Rosales; Rosaceae.
ACGAACAUGGGUUUGGUUCUUUGUUGACGUCCCAUGGAACAGCACCAGCAGCAGAAGCGUUGAGGCUGUUGGAGAGAUCGAUCAUUGUGGUUUGUUGGUUUGAGGAUAGUGCAGAGAACACCACAGGAUCAGAGGUAGAUGUCUGUGUGUUGGGUUAUGGAAUGUUUGGGGGAACGGGAAAGUUCGUGGGAGCAGGGAACAAAGUGAAGGAAGAGAAAAAUGCCGGGCGUGUUGGUUGGGAUAGGGGAGCGGAGUUGACUUGGACUAUUGACCAAUGGGUCUGUUUCUUGCGAAGACUUCACACGGAGAGUUAAAAAAUGAGUGGUCUCUGCAGUGUGGAGUGUGGAAUUAAACUUCCACCAAGCGAUUUUCGAGCAGGGGCUUCUUGUUAUUGGUACCGUAGUCGGUAAAUUUAAAUUACGAAAUUAGUACGUGAAAAUCACGUACGUAUAUUACUGGCCAACUUUGCAAAAUUGAUAUUUUAUAAACGUGGCUAUUUUUUUUAGGGAUAUGAUAUCCAUAUACCCUAUUUUACUUUUCACACAUUUUUUAUUUUUCGAUCGUCGGAUCGGAUGAAUUGAAGAAAAUCAACGGACAAAAUUUUUUAAGGUGCGUGUACAUAACACACCCCUUUUUUUAAGGGAGCUUUCAUGAAAAGUUUUUUUUUUGUUUUGUUUUUUGUCAAACGAUAGAUUUUGUUAGAUUAAAUGUUACAUUAGCCAUCGACGAGGUUCAAAUCCACGCCGUUAUGUAAGGGCUCAAUUCCUUUCCACUGCUAUGGUAAAGGGUCACUUGCUUCAUGAAAAGGAUUUGGAUUAAGUUUAUUUUAACCAAAAAUCAUGCUAUAACUUUAUUUAAUGAAAAAAAAACUUAAAUUUUAAUAAAAUGACACAAUUUUAAUAUAAAUUAAAAAAAAAUAACCUAACCCAUCCAUCACAAACACUGUUUAUGAAAUUGAACAAUACUAUAUUGUUUAUGAAACUUAAUGGUACUACACUAUUUAUGAAACUGAACGGUACUAUAUUAUUUAUGAAAUUGAACAGGAUUACACUAUUUAUUGGUCCAAAUUCAUAAAUAGUGCCUAGUUCUUGGUUCAUUUUCAUAAAUAAUGCCUAUUUAUUGGGUCAAGUUUCAUAACCAAUGUCUCACUCUUGGUUCAGUUUCAUAACUAGUGCCUAGUUCUUGGUCCACUUUCAUAUAUAGUGCCUAGUUCUUCGUCAUUUUUCAUAAAUAGUGUCUAGUUCUUAGUCCAGUUUCAUAUAUAGUGUAUAGUAAUUGAUACAGUUCCAUAAAUAGUAUCUCUGACUUGGUCUAGUUUCAUAAAUAGUGUCUCUUUUUUGGUCUAGUUUCAUAAAUAGUCUAUUUCUUGGUCUAGUUUUUGGUUCAGUUUUAAAAAUAGUGCAUUCUCUGAUUUCAGUGCAUCCUCUGAGCAACAAAUGAUGGUGAUGAGGUGGUGAUGCCCAUGUCCAUGGCAUUCUUCAAGAGAUACUCAGUCGUUCCUCCCUUCUUUUUCACGUUCUCUUCCUGAGAUACCCAAAUCAAACACAACCCUUGCUACGAAGCUAUAGAGCUUUGUAAUCACAUAAAAAUGUUGGAGUGGUGAAAAUUUUCUUAAGAAAGUUGGAGAUCACCCAGCGGCGGUGAACAGGAAAUUCCAUAAUAACAAAAAAAUUACUAAAAAAACACAAAAAAAAAAAAGAAAACAAACAAAAUUGAAGUGGGUGAAAACCCUGAAAACCCCAAUGUUUGAAGAAAUUGAUGUUAAGUACCUGGGAGUGCUCAUUGAGUUGCACGCGCGCCAAUAAGGGGGUUUUUUUUUUCUUGUGUCUUUAUUAUUAAAUAAAGUUAUAGGAUAGCUUUUGGUUAAAAUUUAAAGUUUUGGAGUCAUUUUCAUUAGUUUUCAUUUUUACUAAAGACUUACUUUUAGCUAUGUCAUCUGAAACUCGAAUUUAAUCCAAUUUUGUUCAUUGCAGCUCAAGAGUCGCCACUUUACCUCUGAAACUCAAAGUUCACUUCACUUUGCUACGUGGAAUUCGAUUUUGAUCUCAUUUUCCCCAUGAAACUUGAAAAUCUUCUCUAUAAAACUCAAAAUUCUCUCCACGUUGCCUUAGAUUUGUUAAUCUCUGAUGUGACUUUGAUUUGGGUGCACCAGGAAAAUCAAUUUAUUUUUUACUUUUCAUCUCUUUAAUUUCUUUUAAACUUAAUAUUUUUUGAGUCUAGAAUGUUAACACAUAAUAGAGAUUUAUAAUCAAAUUUGUUGCUCAUGUGGCAUAAUCUUAUUGGUUGUUGGAUCCCACAUAUGUUUUAGGAUGUGACAUAUAAGUUUUAGGAAGAAGAGAGUCCACAAGUCAAAGUGGAACGAAUUUUGAGUUUUAGGAAGUAAAGUGGUGAUUUCAGAGUUACAGGAGCCAGAAGGCAAAGUGAGAGCAAAAUAGAGUUCUACAGAGUGUAGCUAAAAAUAAGCAUUUUUGAAUUUAAUAUUCAAAAAUGUUAUUUUUACCAUAUAUUUGUACCAUUAUUUGUAUCAUCUUUCUAAAAGAGAUGAAAAUUUAUUUGUAUUAUUGAAAAUUAUUUAAACGUGUAUUAAAAAUAGGUUUACUUCUCACAUCUCUUGAUAAUUUAUGUCCAUUGAUAUUCUUCAAUUCAUCCGAUCCGACGACCGAAAAUUAAAAAGGUGUGUGAGAAGUAAAAUAGGGUGUGUGGAUAUCACACCCCUAAAAUAAAAAGUAUGUAUGUACUUGUAGAACACAUGUAUCAUAUAUUAGAGCUUAAAAACAAGUGCAAUCUUUAAGAUGUACAAAAAUUGUACCAUAUGCAUAUUACAUGUGAAUUUACUAACUAUAAACUCAAAAUACAUACAGGAAGAGACUCUUGCAUCCAGGUCCCCAAAAUGGGUCGUGUGACAUCCAAACGCCAACAAGAGUUUUCCUUGUAUUUUUCGUAAGUGUAUAUGUAACGUGACACGGGAACUGACACGGGAACUGAUACUUAAAAGGAUUCCUCAAUUCAUAUGGAAAGAGAUCCUCUUCGGAUCUCUCCCUUCAAAGCCACCAAAUUAAGUGAUCUAGACUUUUGAAAUUUAAUCCAACGGCUAAAAACAGAGAAGUUGGUAAAAAAAAAAAUUAUAAGCUAUAAUAGUUUUUAACCGUUGAAUCAAAUAAAAAAAAGCCGGAUCAUUUGAUCUGGAGGCUUUAGAGAAAGAGAUCUGGAGAGGAUAUCUUUCCAAUACAUACGGCCCUAUAAAAGUUUCUAUCAUGUGGAGCCAUGCUUUACUUGAAAACUAGGUUGUUCAAAAACGCGUAAAUGGAGAAAGAAGAAGUUAAAAAUACAGAUGAGAAUGGGAAGGUGCAGAUUGAUUCCACUAAAAAUCGUUUGUUACUGGAAAAUGCGAUUCCCUUGAAGUCAUGAAGGUUUUAAUUCGAUUGGUUAACAUAGUCGUCUCGACCUUGGCGGUCAUGUCGUGAAUGAUCGGCUGCCCUUUUUCUGGGCCCGCCACUGACUUUUGUGCUUUGAACCGGGCCUGCAUUGACUGACCAGUUGUUGUGUUUGAUGUGUUGGUUGUUUUACCUUCCUCGGAUCAAACUGGCCACCAUUUGACGUUCUUUCAAAGCCUUAAUAAUUGGAUCACUAGUUCAAUUUUCCGUUAUUUCAAUAAAUAAUUGGAUCACUAGUUCUUGAACUUGUUUGGGAUAAAACUUAAAUUUUGGGCUAAAAAAGGGGGUUAGCCCAAAAGAAGGUCCAGAAAGAGGAAAAGUCUAAGGCCCAGCCAAAGCCCAGAAGAAAGAAGGAGCCUUUUUCCUGACUAAGUGCAGAUCACUCAAACCACCUGCUCACCUACCUAGAGGUCAAGUGAUGUAGACCAGCCAGCUAAUCAGCCCAAAAGUACUUUACAAUGGCAGUACAAGUAAAAAGCUGAUGAGUCACUACCCUUCAGAUGCAUUCGAGCAAAAUAAAUACUGCAGGCAGCCAAGCCAAAUCGUCUAUAAAAAGAGGAAGAAAAAUCAGGGACAAGGAUACUCAAUCAAACAAACAAAUACAAGCACAAACUCUGCUCAAACCAGGUUUGCCUUCACGAAGCUGUAGUCAGCCCCUAAGCCUUCAUCCCUUUAGGGAUCAACCUUCACCAGAAAGCCUUUGUAAAAGCUCUGCUACCCUGUCUAAAUCUUGUUGUAGUAUCGAUUACCUCCUGUAAACUCAUCUCCCAAUCUCCCUUUCUAGCAUUCAAACCCUUUGUAAAUCACAAAGAGAGGAAGUUGCAAGACGAUCAGCCUUGCCUGACAAGGUGAAAUCUUGCCCGACCUCCUUUGUUUUUGUUUUUCAUUCAUAAAUCUAGUAGUAUGAUGUAUAUUUCCAGUGCAUCCAAGUUAUUUCUAGCCAGUUUAUGAUUAAAAGACUUUUAAGUUCUAACCAUUCGGGCAGACAAGAUUUAUCAAUUAAAAGUCCUUGAUCUCAAGGCAUAAAAAGAACCCUAUGUGGACUUAACCCAUCCACGACAGUCCUUGAUAACAAGAAGUCCGAAGUUACUUGGGGCACAAGUAAUUAGCCUAUUUCUUAGUUUUACUUCUGUUAUAUCAUGAUUGCUACAGAACGCUUGAGUAAAGAAUUAAUUCUGAUGGGAAGCCUCAUGGCCUAUAUCUAAGGCUCUACAAAGGCACCUAUUUGAGUCCGUUCUGCUCUGCGGGCUCGAGCGAUUAAGGUAUAACGGUUGUGAUACUUCUACAACAAUGAAACAACCAAUAUAUCUUCGAGUACUUGAUUAGUUUUGAUUGGAAGCCUCAAUGCCUACACCUAAGGCUCUACAAAGGCAUCUUUCAUUACUAAAUUCGUGCAUAUUUAAUCAAACUGAACAUUUGUUUUACAUCUAUCAUGCUAAAGAUGGCAGUGGCACGCCUGAACACCUAAAGGUUAAUUUUGAUUGUGAGCCUCAAGGCCUACACCUAAGCCCCCAUAAAGGAACCUUUCAGGAUUAACUCUGUUAUUCUCUUAUAGCCCGCCAAUAAGCAGAAGCCCGACAGACAAUAUCAACCGACGCCAAACCUCUCGGGGAGCUGUGUGCUCGUUGGCUAAGAAAAGUCCCCACUAGAUAUUCCUCAAGACGAACAGAACUAUUAUCAAAUUAUUGUUUUGGUGCCUUGAUUACUGACGGAAAUUACAUCAGUGUGUGCGAAUAUAACUAUGGUUGUAAAGCCGAACCUAAACUUGUUUAAUUAUUUCCGAGCUCAAGCUAGGUUUGGCUUGGUUCUUACAUGAGAGCACAAUAUUUUUAGGUUCGGAAAUAAUUAAACAAGCCAAACUUGUUGCUAGCUCUCUUGUAAGAAGGGGAGGCUGCAGAUGAUAAUUAGUCUUUGCAAUCCUGCUGCUAGCUAGCAUUUUUGAAGGUCCUUGUUGGUAAGAGCGCAAAAAUUGUUUUGUUCUUACAUUUCUUUGUAUCGAGUGAUGUAUCUGUCAGAAAUUGUAUCGAGUGAUGUAUAUGUCAGCAAUUAUUUUGUUCACACAUUCCUUGUAGUAUAGGUUACUUAAGUAGUUCUUUUCGGGUUUGUUUAAAUCAUGGAUAUAGAUAGUUGUACAUGUAUACACAUGUCAUAUACAGGGCAGGCCUAAGCCUAGUGUGGGCAAGGCGACCGUCCAGGGCCCAAAAAAAUUAUGGGCACCAAAAUUAUUAGUGUGGCAUAUUUAUAUACAUUUUCAUACGAGUAUAAAUUUAUUAAAUUUGGUUUAAUGACAAAGAAUUUUAACUAGAAUCAGUGAUUUUGUUGUUUGAAAUUAACGAGGUGGUCUUGGGUUCAAAACAACAUGUGUGCUUAUUUAAGUUUCAAUUUUUACAAAUUUCUUUUCAUAACAAUAUAAAUUUAUAAAAUUUAGCUAAAUGAUUAGAAGUUUAAUUAGAAGCAAUGGUUUUUGUAUUUAAAAUUAACAAAACAUUCUAAGUUCGAAAUGCUAUGUGCAUGUUUAUUUUUUUCAAUAUUUACAAAUUUUUGUUUGGUUGCUAAUUUAUUUUUAAUUACUAGCUAGUAACUAUGUAGGUUGCUAUUUUGAAAUAGUCGUUCCAAUUCAAGUCUAAUCUACAACAAAGGGUAAAGCGUAUACUAAAUUUUGAGACCAAAUUUGCAAAUCAUAUAACGUGUCAUCAAAAGGUUUAAUUUGGUGCCCAUUCAUUACUUAUACAUAUCUUUAAAGACUAGAAAAUAUCAUUAUUUUUUUAGUCUUAUAUUGAUGAGGCUAUAACUUUAUUUAAUGAAAAAAAAAACUUAAAUUUUAAUGAAAAUGACACAAUUUUGAUAUAAACUAAAAAAAAAAAAAAAAAAACCUAACCCAUCCAUCACAAAUACUAUUUAUGAAAUUGAACAGUACUAUAUUGUUUAUGAAACUUAAUGGUACUAUACUGUUUGUACCAUACUUGACCAAUCCUGAAACUACUGAGCACCGGUCAACGUUAUACCGUCAAGGACCCAGAAGAGUUUCCUUCCAACCAGGAGGCCAAUCACAGCGCGACAAGUGUCGACAUCAGAAGCCAAUCAUAGCGCGACACGUGUCAACAUCAGAAGCUAAUCACAACACAACAUGUGUCAACGUCAGAAUGAAACUAGAAACUCUCUUCUAUAAAUAGAGAUCAUUCUCUCAUAAUAUUUCCGAAUGUCAUUUGUACUAAAUCAUUCACUUGUACUCACUAAAGGAGAGCUUGAACCUAUGUACUUGUGCAAACCCUUCACAAUUAAUGAGAAUUCCUCUACUCCGUGGACAUAGCCAAUCUGGGUGAACCACGUACAUCUUAUGUUUGCUUCCCUGUCUCCAUCCAUUUAUAUACUUAUCCACACUAGUGAUUGAAGCAAUCUAGCGAAGGUCACAAACUUGACACUUUUUGUUGUACCAAAGUCCCCACCGAUUUUGUGCAUUAACAUUUGGCGCCGUCUGUGGGAACGACACUUAUUCUCACUCUCUUCAGCUUUGCCAAGCUGGUUUCCACCACUCGUACAUUCUCUUCUGACCAGGCAUCCUCUUUAACAUGGGGAGCGAAAGAAGCCACAACACACAGAAUGACACCCCUCUUGCCCUAGUGCAAAGCAACGAAAGAAUGAAGGAAAGAUGGUUGCUCUUUAAGCUAAAGUCGAUGAGCUAGAAGCUCAGAACAACAAGAUAGCAAUGAAAAAUGAGGUCCUAUAGGAACAGUACGAGAAGCUCUUUGAGACGUUCCACGAAACUAGGCGUACUCAAACACAUGAGCUCGUUGCCCCUAUGGACAUUAACCAUCAUCUGGGUGCCCCCCAACACGGAGGGUCACCUCCCUUCGACAUGGAUAUCCCUAAUGAGGAGCGAGCUAAUUAUCAAAACAUUGAUCAACAUGAGACGUAUCUCAACCCAGAUGCUUCGACCCGAAGUAGAAGAAGUGGAGGAAGACACUUCCUUGCAGAAGGGUUGGAAGGAUCGAAAGUCGUUUAUCGUGACUGCCGAGACUUCCUAAAGCAACGUCGAGAGAAUCCCCUCCAUAUAUGCUCAAAGAUCAAUGACCCAAGGGUUUAAAAGACUCGGUUCCCUCCCACGACCCAGGCCAGCUGUCAAUCUAGGGAAAAAACUACAGGUCCCAGAGGAACAUCAAGGUACGGGGGACUUUGAGGUAUUCUGAUAGACUCGCCUUAGAAGUCAAUACAGUGAGUCCAAGAAAAAACCACACGCCCUUGCUCAAACUUUCCUACUUCCAAGAGACGAUGGAGACUUAUGAAAGAAAAUUCCAGUAGUACAUGACUCCACUCAGGACUCCCUUGUCCUACAGCUCAUUGAGGAAGUAAACAAGUUGAAGGCCGAAUGUUAGGCUGAGAUACCUGACUAGAACCAACUCAGGCCUGGCCCUCUCACAAGAUGGAUCCUCGACACCUCCUUCAAGCGAAGACAAAACAAAAACUUGGUUUACAACUCUAUACUGGAAUGGAGGACCCAAUUGAACACCUUAACCUCUUUGAGUCCACCAUGGCAUAUCGGAUGAACACCGACGAAGAGCGAUGUCUUCUCUUCCCUUCCACCCACUCUGGUGGAGCUCUAAACCGGUAUUGCCGUCUUCCACCUGAGACAGUAGACUCAUUUGAGGAACUGAGGAAAUUGUUUGUCUCUCAACACAUCUUCCAGACCGAUCGCUUGCAUUCUACAGAUGACUUGUACACUAUUUGCCAGAAGCCAGACAAGUCACUACGAGAGUAUGCUGGUUGCUUCAGCCAUGUGUAUUCUCUUUGCGCUGAGGCAGAUGACAAAACCGCCUUCAAGGCCUUCACGACAGGCCUACGUGAUUGUUUCUUCAAGUACAUGAUCAAUGCCAACACUUGGAAGACUUACUCUGAGGUGAUGACACAGACUUACAACCACGCCUCUACUGAAGCAAGGACAUACCAAGGGAACCCCCAUAUGGUUAACCCCUAUCAACACGUGGUAAGUUGAAGUCAAGUUCUGCCAAGUGAGGAGAUCUUGGCCAUUCAGACACCCAUUGCAUCAUCUCCUGCCUCAUUUAGUUACUUUUUAAGUCACCAAACGUAUCUAGUCUCUUGGUAAGAGGAAGGAUUUUUACUCUCAGCAAGCCCAUUACAACAAGAGGGAUAAAAGUUCGUAUCAAGACAACCAAGGGUGAACGUAUCGUCGACUAUUAUGACUAUGGGGCCAAGCUUCACUCUUUCAAAAUGGAUGACUAGGUACUGAAGGAAAUGCUAUUAUAAGAAGGUAUACACAUUACAAAUGUUUUGACUCUCAACUGCUUGAGAUCUUUUGUCACACAAGCCAUUCGGAAAAUAUUUAAAGAAAAGGGAAUUCAGACAACUUCUCUUGAGUAUUUUGCGUUCCUAGCACUGGAACACUUGGUCUACGCUGACCUACCCUUAUACUCCAACUCAGAGCUUCAACAUGCGUACUUUGACACAAAUAUAUGACACUAAGUGUUACAACCAACAUGGUUCACAUAUCAAAAACAUGGAUCCCUUCAUGCAUAGCAAAACAUUCAUAAGCAUCACUCAUAUCAAUCAACAUAAACAUCAUGCAUUCCAACACAUUCAUACAUAAACAUCAUACAUUCCAACACAUCCAUACAUAAGCCAACUGUGCAACUGUUUAUUCUCAUGCUUAAGCCCUCUAAUGUCCUGUUUGAGAUUCAUCACUUCAGCCGCCAAUGAUUCAACCUGGCGGGUUCGAGCAAAUAGGCGUUGGGCCAUAUUAGACACAGAACCUGCACACUGAACAGUGAGAGCCAGAGAAUCCUUAACAGCUAACUCAUCAGACCGUUUGGACAGUAGUCUGUUAUCUUUGGGAGUGAGAAGGUUUCUGGCCACCACCGCAGCGGUCAUAUCAUUCUUCAUCACGGAAUCCCCAACGGUAAGAGGACCAGUAGGGGAGACGAAGGAUGGGCGCCAUAUGUUGUCUGGAGAAGGCGGAGCUACCUCUUCAACAAGGUUCAAGUCAAAACGACGAUCGGAGGGGCCAGACAUUUUCAAAGGUGUUGAAGAGAGAAGAGGUCGGACAAAUCAAGAUCUUAGAAGUGCAAGAAUGGAGCUUCUACUGGUGGAGAUUCAAGUGUGUUUUGGAACUUAAUGCCAGCCCCUAUAAAAAUCUGCACUCGACAGAGCUUCAGAAAUCGAAGAGGCGCCUGCUCAGAAAUCGAAGAGGCGUUUGCUUUCUCAAAAGCUGGGCUGCUCAGAGACCACGAGGGUCGAUCUCAGAAAACGAAGAGGCGUUUGCUUUCUCAAAAGUUGGGUUGCUCAAAGACCACGAAGGCCGAUCUCAGAAAUCGAAGAUGCGCUUGCUUUCUCAAAAGCUGGGCUGCUCAGAGACCACGAGGGCCGAUCUCAGAAAUCGAAGAGGCACCUACUUUUCCAGCCUUGUCAGCACCUGUCACACGCACACUCAGCUUUGCGAAAAUUAUGGGCAUUCUAUCGACGGCUUCUGGUGAAGUAGAAAACACAUGAGUCUUACUGUUCAAUCACCCACUUCCCACACGCAACCUCUGACAAAGAAGGGUAAAAGAAUAGCAAAGAAACAGCAAUAACAAAGUUUAGACACAUAAAUUUUGAAGGUCUAGCUACCAUAUUAUUACCCACAAGGGUAAAAGAACAGUACCACUGUUGGAUAAUUGGAAAGUCCCUGUGUGUCAACCUCUGUGCUUCGUGGCAAGGUAGACUAGCAAACAUGCCCAACCUUUACUCACAUUCGAGAAAACACUCCCAACAAGAUUGCUUGCUCCAAAAUCGAAGAGGCACCGUCCUCCGAAUCUCGAGAGCCAGACUCCCAACAUGACUACUUUCUCAAAAAUCGAAGAGAGGGUAAAAGAACAGUACCAUUGCUGGAUAAUUGGAAAGUCCCUAUGUGUCAACCUCUGUGCUUCGUGGCAAGGUAGACUAGCAAACAUGCCCAACCUUUACUCACAUUCGAGAAAACACUCCCAACAAGUUUGCUUGCUCCAAAAUCGAAGAGGCACCGCCCUUCGAAUCUCGAGAGCCAGACUCCCAACAUGAUUACUUUCCCAAAAAACGAAGAGACACCACUAUCCGAAUCUCGAGAGCCAGACCCCCAGCAUGAUUACUUUCUCAAAAAUCGAAGAGGCAUCGUUCUCCGAAUCUCGAGAGCCAGAUCCCCGAUAGGAUUGCUUGUUCGAAAACCGAAGAGGCAACACUUUCCCAACUUCAAGAGCCAGAUUUCCUUGGAUAAAGCUGUCUGUAAUCUUCACACGCAACAUCACCUUUCCAGAUACCACAGACCACUUUUUCAAAGUGCUCUGACAGAGUUAAAACAUGUGAAGCUGGCAGCUCCCACUACCGUGCUAUGACCAAGUAGGGUAAAGGAAUAACAUUACUACUUGUUGUUAAGGAGACUCCUAUAUAUGUCCACCUCCAUCCCCAACGGACAGGCAGACCUGCAAAAAUGCUCAACCCUUCCUCAUAUCUGAGAGGGCACUCCCAACGAAGCCUUUCGAAAUAUUCAGCUUUCUUUCCCCCCCAUAAUAUCUCUGCAAACAAGCUAUACUAGAGCAAGAAUAUCUCAUAUCAUCAGGGUUAAAAGCAAGAGUAUCCCAUAUCAUGCUUUUUCCCUGUCUUUUCCUUUGGCCUUGUUCUUAUUUGCAAGACAAGGAGAAAGAGAGCAAUCAGUCAGCACUUGGAAUCAAGCUUCCAGCCAGGAACUGACUGCCUGGAACCCCUUACCUGAUUACUUACCUGCCAUUGCUCUCGAGUACUCAUCUUCAACAUCUUAUGCUUCCAGGGAAGAUACCGCAUCUGCCUGAGGAAUAGAUAGGGCAAGGGAGAAGGAUACAAGGAAGCAUGUGGAGACAAGCGAAACAGCACACAUGCCGAUACAUCCAUUACUCUGUCAAAGCAAAAGUAUCCCAUAUCAGCAGGGUCGAACGUACUCUAGAUUUGAUGGACUUGUUUUGACCCUCAAAUUCUUCAGUCGGCCUUAUACUCUGGAGGAAACCAGAAAACCCUCCAGCUCAGUUCAAGAAUAAGCUUGUGGAAAGUUACUUCUUCAAAAGCAAAAGUAUCCCAUAUCAUCUCUUCUCAUUUUCUUCUCUUUAUCCUUCAUGCUGCCUGCAAGAUAGGGAGAAUGUGAACAAUCAGCCGGAGCUCUGAUUGCUUACUUUGUCUGUCACCUCUUUCAGCAGAUCCUCUAGCUCGGCGACUUGGGGGACUCCUACUACAUGGUUUGUAUCGCGCUUGACCAAGCCUGAAACUACAAGUAAGCUUCAAGUGAAAUUGAUACAUUACCUUGUGCAUCUCCACCAGUUAAAGAUACCACCCAUGGAUGGAGGAAGAGUACUUCCAGAGAAGAUGCCACAUCUACCUAUAAGACAGAUAAGGCAAGUCAAGACGAUACCGCACUCAAAUACUUAGAAGUUUCGUGAUUACGAGAUCAUUCUCCCACAAUAUUUCCUAAUGUCAUUUGUACUAAAUCAUUCACUUGUACUCACUAAAGGAGAGCUUGAACCCAUGUACUUGUGUAAACCCUUCACAAUUAAUGAGAACUCCUCUAUUCCGUGGACGUAGCCAAUCUGGGUGAACCACGUACAUCUUGUGUUUGCUUUCCUGUCUCUAUCCAUUUAUAUACUUAUCCACACUAAUGAUCAGAGCAAUCUAGUGAAGAUCACAAAAAGCGACCGUUUUCAUUACCUAGGAUCUAUCGUGCAAGAGAACGGAGAAUUAGAUGGAGAUCUCAACCAUAGAAUACAAGCUGGAUGGAUGAAGUGUAAGAGUGCAUCCGGCGUGUUGUGUGACCGUCGUAGGUCACUGAAGCUCAAGGGAAAAUUUUAUAGGACGGCAAUAAGGCCAGCGAUGUUGUAUGGCACAGAAUGUUGGGCGGUGAAGCAUCAACACGUACACAAAAUGGGUGUGGCGGAGAUGAGGAUGCUUCGUGGGAUGUGUGGGCACACGAGAAAGGAUAAGAUUGGGAAUGAGGAUAUCCGAGGUAAAGUAGGAAUAGCCGAAAUUGAAGGAAAGAUGAGAGAAAAUCGGUUCCGGUGAUUUGGACAUGUGCAAAGAAGGCCUACUGACGCUCCGGUCCGAAGAUGUGACUACGGGACAGAGGUUCAGGGCCGAAGGGGUAGAGGAAGACCUAGGAAAACUUUGGAAGAGACUCUAAGAAAAGACUUAGAGUACUUGGAUCUAACGGAGGACAUGACACAAAACCGAGCGCAAUGGCGUUCUAGGAUUCAUAUAGCCGACCCCACUUAGUGGGAAAAGGCUUUGUUGUUGUUGUUGUUGUACUUGUAUGUCUACAUAUAGGUUACUUUUCUUGUGUACUUAUAUUAUCUUUUAUACUUGUUUUAUUGACAUUCAAAGUGCCCAUAUUUUUAGUUCUGAUUUAAGAUGACGACUGUGUUCUGUUUUUAUAGGUACUUUCACUGUUUCUAAUCUUGGGAUGUUUGGUGUUGAUCGGUUUGAUGCUAUUCUGCCACCUGGAACUGUAAGCGUUGUAUUUUAUGCCUUUUCCCGAUUUAUUUUCUGUUCGAGUGAUAAUGCAUGUUGUAUGUUGGUUACAAUAUUUGUGCGUUUCUGGUUUCAAUUUUCACAGGGAGCAAUUAUGGCUGUUGGAUCAUCUCAGCCUACUGUUGUGGCUACCAAGGAUGGUCGGAUUGGACGGAAGAACCAAAUGCAGGUAAGAAAUUUGAAAGCUAUACAUAUGGGUAUGAUACAUAAAAAGGAAACUACGAUUUCUAACUCUUGGAACAUGCAAUUAUUUGCAGGUAAAUGUUACUGCUGAUCAUCGUAUAAUUUAUGGCGCUGAUCUGGCUUCAUUCUUGCAAACCUUGGCCAAGAUUAUUGAGGACCCCAAAGAUCUUACCUUCUAGUCUCGAAACGUCAUGUCACCAAAUGUUCCCCGCUUGGCUUUCAGAAUGUCUGGGAUUUUUCUCCGUAUGAUCUCGUCAGGCAUGCUUCUACCGUUGCUAAUCAUUUAGGUUUGACGGGAGGCUUGUUCAAUUCUAUAUGACGAAUAGGAAAACAAUUUUGAACAUUAAUGCAUAAUGAGUUUUAGUUCCAGUUCAUCAAAGGUUCUAUCAUAAAAUGUUGCUGGCCGUUGUUUUUUCUCAGUCGUUUUCGGGUUUUUAGAGUUGGCUAUUGCAUGAAACUGGUUAUCUAGGUUGUAGAAGUAUGUAUUUGCAACUUAACAAGCAUAUCCAUGAUACAAACGUAUUGCUACCGAAAUCCAAUUCGCAAAAUGUUUUGAGGACUUCGUAUGUAUCGUGCCUAUUUUCAACUAACAUGAAGCAGUGGUACAACAAGCAACGCAUUGUUUAUAUAUUCGCGUUCAGUUUAUAAAUUUUCUACAUGUUACAUUACUUCCUAUAGUUGCCAUAUAUUCUAUGGCAAGAUAAGCUUUAAACUACAUCGAACGACUGAUAUUCUAGUUGUAGGAACUGACCGAAGCUUCGGGUUCAUCCCAUCUUAUGCAUGGAACUUGUAUUCAUAUAGCGACUUUGAAUCAUGCCGUGUUACUUUAUCUUGCAUUGAGGAGCCUCGUAAGCACACUCUUCAUUCUUGGCCUUGCUUCGGGUGAUACACUAACACAAGCAAGAGCAAUUUUCAGGACCGCAAGCAUCUGGUUUCGGACAGCAGUUGAUGUUCUGCUGAUACUGUAAUCAAGAAUGUGAUCCCUUUUAUCUUGCUGCGCUGAGUUACUCAAGACCCACUUGGCCAACUCAAUCCCCUCACUAACUGCUGGCUUUCCCGUCAGCAACUCCAGCAGAACGACCCCGAAGCUGUAGAUAUUCCCGGCCAUUGUUACAACCAUAGUGUAUGCAUACUCUGCCACCACAGAACAGAGACAAAUAUUCAGACAAAAUUACUUCCAAAUCCAGCAAGUUACUUAAAUAAGCGGUAUACUGACAAGUCGGGGAUUACUCUGAGAAACAAUAUUAUGUUACUGCAAGGUGAAAAAAUCACAGAACUGCUUACCUGGAGGAAUGUAGCCAACAGAACCAGCAAUAGUAGAAAGGCUUCCGGUGCUCUUUGAAGGAUCGAUCACCUUCAAGAGCUCAGCAUCUGCAAUCAAAGGCUCCUUGAGGGACUUGAGCAAAAUGCUUUUGCUUGACAAGUCAAGGAGGAGUAUUGGACUUGGAGUGCACCCAUGAAGAAAAGAAAGACCCUGCGCUACUCCAACUGCAAUACUAUACCGGCUCCCCCAAUCCAUGUCAUCGCCCGAGAUACCACGAAGAGCAUCAAAAAGGGUUCCUUUUGGAGCAAAUUCAUAGAACAGAUAAGCACUGUCACCAGUCAAGACAUAGGCCAGAGGAUUCAUGACAUUGGAAUUGCUUAGUUUCCCGAAGACCUCUAAAUCUCGGGCGAACCUAUCGUGGCUGCCCAGUUGGAAUAUCUUGUCACUCCAGUUGAGCUUCUUCACAAAGUAGCUUGCUCCAGACGGCAUGAUGGCUUUGUAGUAAGUUGAAAACCUAGUCUUCAGCACAACGUUUGACUGGUCGGAAACUACUUCCAUCGCUCUAGUGAAAUCGAUGUUUGAUCUAUGAAUACCAUUUGCAGUUAAUAGAUUGCCCUGGAGGACCUCAGGAACAGCAAGUUCUUCCUCUGUUUGCACUUGUUCAUCAUUAACCCUGUAAUUUUGCCGUGAUAUGCGGCAACAAUGGUGAUCGCUCCAAAAGCAACCACAGCUGCUGCUACAACGGCAAGAACAAUUGUCGCUGCAUAUGAUUUUUUCUUCUUCUCCAAUUGGGGUGGAGUGUUUAUUGUUCUGUUAUGCAAAUCCUUGUUCCCAUUUGUGUCGACCAUGACCCAAGAAGAGAACGUCGGAAUUUCUCCAGAGAGCUCAUUGUUAGAAAGAGACAACUGUGUCAAGGUUCCCAAUUUAGUCAAAAAAUCAGGUAUCUUACCUGAGAAUUUGUUAUUUGAGAGAUCCAGAAUUUCUAAUACACUGAGACUCGAAAGAGUUUCCGGAAUAGGUCCCUGAAAAUGAUUGCUGCUGAGAUUUAAAGCAAUCUGUAAAUUCGUCGGCAUUCUUGGAAUGUCACCACUUAAUUGAUUUUCUCCAAGUUGGAGUUCCAUCAGAGAAUCCAUGGAGGCAAUACCGACGGGAAUGAAACCGCUGAGCUUGUUACCUUGUAAGUUCAUGUUAAUAAGACUCCGCAUGUUUGAAACUGAAGGUGGUAUCGAGCCGUUGAUAGAAUUCCAGCUGAUAUUCAGAACGGACAACUUGGGUAGUCGAGUAAAUUCAAUUGGAAUUUCCCCACUCAAAUUGUUCGAUUGAAGUUUCAAGACCUCAAGACUGCUAAGGUGACCCAACUUUGCCGGCAAAGCCCCAGACAGUUGAUUCUGAGCCAAAUUCAGCAGCGCCAAUUUCCGGCAAUCACCCAAUUCAGGAGGAAUUGAUCCAGUCAAGUUAUUGUUUUCCAUCUCCAAGUAGGUCAACUUGUCAUGUGUUGCAAUUGCUGCAGAAGGUAUCUUCCCAUCAAGCGAAUUGCUUCCCAGUCUCAACCUCACCAAGCUCGGAGAUAGAGUUUCAGGUACCGGUCCAUCUAAUCUAUUAUUCGACAAAUCCACAGUCUGCAGAUUCAUUGCCGACAAGAGGUCCGAUGGAAUCGACCCAUUCAAUUUAUUAUAACUGAGAUCCAAGUUUUUCAAAUGCUCCGUAAUGCCACCAGGAAUCGUCUCAUUGAAAUCGUUAGAAUUUGCUGCAAAUCUCCAAAGGCUUGUGAUAUUGGAAAUGCUUUGUGGGAUUCCGCCGGAAAAGUUAUUGGCCGAAAGAAUCAAAACCUCCAACUUGGAGAGCUCUCCGAUCCGAGCAGGAAUAAUCCCGGUAAGCCGAUUUCCGCUAAGAUCAAUGAGAGUCAAAUUCUUAUAUCCCACAAGUUCAGCAGGGAUAGGACCAUCAAACGUAUUCACAGAAAGCUCAAGCUCCUCCAAAACCUUGGACUUUCCGAGACGGGUUGGAACAUGCCCAGCAAAAUGGUUGAAGGUAAGGUUCAAGCUUCUGAGCUUGACCAACCCGUCCAACUUGGAGCCAAUGCUUCCACUCAAGUUAUUCCGAGCAAAGUCCAGAGCUUCCAAACCCAAAAACCCAACAAAAUCGGGCAGAGGACCCACCAAAUUAUUCAGACUAAAAUUGAGCAGCUUUAACUCACCUAGCUUUCCACAAGCUGAGAUAAACCCAGGCGGAAUUGUGGUCAGACGGUUGCUGGACACAUCAAGAACCUGCAGAGACUCAAUCCGACAAACGAGCGGCAGAAAGUCCGAGGAAGAUAGAGAAUGCCCGGACAACGAAAUCCGGAUAACUGAUGAAUUGGUCGGGGAAUUGCACCCGACUCCCUUCCACGAACAUGGGUUUGGUUCUUUGUUGACGUCCCAUGGAACAGCACCACCAGCAGAAGCGUUGAGGCUGUUGGAGAGAUCUAUCAUUGUGGUUUGUUGGUUUGAGGAUAAUGCAGAGAACACCACAGGAACAGGAAGGUAGCAGAACAAAGACAAGAAGAAAUGGAAAUUGAAAUACAGGACAAGUGAGGUGGUUUGGCGGCCAUAGCUGCUCAUUUUCCGGCUACAAAGAUGGCGUGAGGGAGAUUUGUAGUAUGUAUACUAUAGUUUAUGUGAUUUUUCAGGUGGAAGGAGGAGAGAGAGAGAGGAGAGAGAGAGGAUCAGAGGUAGAUGUCUGUGUGUUGGGUUAUGGAAUGUUUGGGGGAACGGGAAAGUUCGUGGGAGCAGGGAACAAAGUGAAGGAAGAGAAAAAUGCCGGGCGUGUUGGUUGGGAUAGGGGAGCGGAGUUGACUUGGACUAUUGACCAAUGGGUCUGUUUCUUGCGAAGACUUCACACGGAGAGUUAAAAAAUGAGUGGUCUCUGCAGUGUGGAGUGUGGAAUUAAACUUCCACCAAGCGAUUUUCGAGCAGGGGCUUCUUGUUAUUGGUACCGUAGUCGGUAAAUUUAAAUUACGAAAUUAGUACGGAAAAUCACGUACGUAUAUUACUGGCCAACUUUGCAAAAUUGAUAUUUUAUAAACGUGGCUAUUUUUUUUAGGUAUGUGAUAUCCAUACAUCCUAUUUUACUUUUCACACAUUUUUUAAUUUUCGAUCGUCGGAUCGGAUGAAUUGAAGAAAAUCAACGGACAGAAAUUAUUAAGGGGCGUGUACAUAACACACCCCUUUUUUUAAGAGAGCUUUCAUGAAAAAGGUUUUUCUUUUUUUUUUUUGUUUUUUGUCAAACGAUAGAUUUUGUUAGAUUAAAUGUUAGAUUAGCCACCGACGAGGUUCGAAUCCACGCUGUUAUGUAAGGGCUCAAUUCCUUUCCACUACUAUGGUAAAGGGUCACUUGCUUUAUGAAAAGGAUUUGGAUUAAGUUUAUUUUAACAAAAAACCAUGCUAUAACUUUAUUUAAUGAAAAAAAAAAACUUAAAUUUUAAUGAAAAUGACACAAUUUUGAUAUAAAUUAAAAAAAAAAUAACAUAACCCAUCCAUCACAAACAUUGUUUAUGAAAUUGAACAAUACUAUAUUGUUUAUGAAACUUAAUGGUACUACACUAUUUAUGAAACUGAACGGUACUAUAUUAUUUAUGAAAUUGAACAUGAUUAUACUAUUUAUUGGUCCAAAUUCAUAAAUAGUGCCUAGUUCUUGGUUCAUUUUCAUAAAUAGUGCCUAUUUAUUGGGUCCAGUUUCAUAAAUAGUGUAUAGUAAUUUGUAUAGUUUCAUAACCAGUGUCUCACUCUUGGUCCAGUUUCAUAACUAGUGCCUAGUUCUUGGUCCACUUUCAUAUAUAAUGCCUAGUUCUUCGUCAUUUUUCAUAAAUAGUGUCUAGUUCUUGAUCCAAUUUCAUAUAUAGUGUAUAGAUACUCAGUCGUUCCUCCCUUCUUUUUCACGUUCUCUUCAUGAGAUACCCAAAUCAAACACAACCCUUGCUACGAAGCUAUAGAGCUUUGUAAUCACAUAAAAAUGUUGGAGUGGUGAAAAAUUUCUUAAGAAAGUUGGAGAACACCCAGCGGCGGUGAACAGGAAAUUCCAUAAUAACAAAAAAAUUACUAAAAAAAACACACAAAAAAAAAAAAAAACACAAAACAAAAUUGAAGUGGGUGAAAACCCUGAAAACCCCAAUGUUUGAAGAAAUUGAUGUUAAGUACUUGGGAGUGCUCAUUGAGUUGCACGCGCGCCAAUAGGGGGUUUUUUUUUCUUGUGUCUUUAUUAUUAAAUAAAGUUAUAGGAUAGCUUUUGGUUAAAAUUUAAAAUUUUGGAGUCAUUUUCAUUAGUUUUCAUUUUUACUAAAGACUUACUUUUAGCUAUGUCCUCUGAAACUCGAAUUUAAUCCAAUUUUGUUCAUUGCAACUCAAAAGUCGCCACUUUACCUCUAAAACUCAAAGUUCACUUCACUUUGCUCCAUGGAAUUCGAUUUUGAUCGCAUUUCCCCCCUGAAACUUGAAAAUCUUCUCUAUAAAACUCAAAAUUAUCUCCACGUUGCCUUAGAUUUGUUAAUCUCUUAUGUGAUUUUGAUUUGGGUGCACCAGGAAAAUAAAUUUAUUUUUUAGUUUUCAUCUCUUUAAUUUCUUUUAAACUUAAUAUUUUCUGAGUCUAGAAUGUUAACACAUAAUAGAGAUUUAUAAUCAAAUUUAUUGCUCAUGUGGCAUAAUCUUAUUGGUUGUUGGAUCCCACAUAUGUUUUAGGAUGUGACAUAUAAGUUUUAGGAAGAAGAGAGUCCACAAGUCAAAGUGGAACGAAUUUUGAGUUUUAGGAAGUAAAGUGGUGAUUUCUGAGUUACAGGAGCCAGGAGGCAAAGUGAGAGCAAAAUAGAGUUCUACAUAGUGUAGCUAAAAAUAAGCAUUUUUGAAUUUAAUAUUCAAAAAUGUUAUUUUUACCAUAUAUUUGUACCAUUAUUUGUAUCAUCUUUCUAAAAGAGAUGAAAUUUUAUUUGUAUUAUUGAAAAUUAUUUAAACGUGUAUUAAAAAUAGGCUUACUUCUCACACACCUCUUGAUAAUUUAUGUCCAUUGAUCUUCUUCAAUUCAUCUGAUCCAACGACUGAAAAUUAAAAAGGUGUGUGAGAAGUAAAAUGGGGUGUGUGGAUAUCACACCCCUAAAAUAAAAAGUAUGUAUGUACUUGUAGAACACAUGUAUCAUAUAUUAGAGCUUAAAAACAAGUGCAAUCUUUAAGAUGUACAAAAAUUGUACCAUAUGCAUAUUACAUGCAAAUUUACUAACUAUAAACUCAAAAUACAUACAGGAAGAGACUCUUGCAUCCAGGUCCCCAAAAUGGGUCGUGUGAGAUCCAAAUGCCAAAGAGAGGUCCACCAAAAUGGGUCGGGUGAGAUCCAAACGCCAACGAGAGUUUUCCUUGUAUUUUUCUUAAGUGUUUAUGUAACGUGACACGGGAACUGAUACUUAAAAGGAUUCCUCAAUUCAUAUGGAAAGAGAUCCUCUCCGGAUCUCUCCCUUCAAAGCCACCAAAUUAAGUGAUCUAGACUUUUGAAAAUUAAUCCAACGGCUAAAAACAGAGAAGUUGGUAAAAAAAAAUUUAUAAGCUAUAAUAGUUUUUAACCAUUGAAUCAAAUUAAAAAAAGCCGGAUCAUUUGAUAUGGAGGCUUUAGAAAAAGAGAUCCAGAGAGGAUAUCUUUCCAAUACAUACGGCCCUAUAAAAGUUUCUAUCGUGUGGAGCCAUGCUUUACUUGAAAACUAGGUUGUUCAAAAACGCGUAAAUGGAGAAAGAAGAAGUUAAAAAUAUAGAUGAGAAUGGGAAGGUGCAGAUUGAUUCCACUAAAAAUCGUUUGUUACUGGAAAAUGUGAUUCCCUUGAAGUCAUGAAGGUUUUAAUUCGAUUGGUUAACAUAGUCGUCUUGACCUUGGCGGUCAUGUCGUGAAUGAUCGGCUGCCCUUUUUCUGGGCCCGCCAUUGACUUUUGUGCUUUGAACCGGACCUGCAUUGACUGACCAGUUGUUGUGUUUGAUGUGUUGGUUGUUUUACCUUCCUUGGAUCAAACUGGCCACCAUUUGACGUUCUUUCAAAGCCUUAAUAAUUGGAUCACUAGUUCAAUUUUCCGUUAUUUCAAUAAAUAAUUGGAUCACUAGUUCUUGAACUUGUUUGAGAUAAAACUUAAAUUUUGGGCUAAAAAGGGGGUUAGCCCAAAAGAAGGUCUAGAAGGAGGAAAAGUCCAAGGCCUAGCCGAAGCCUAGAAGAAAGAAGGAGCCUUUUUCUUGACUAAGUGCAGAUCACUCAAACCACCUGCUCACCUACCUAGAGGUUAAGUGAUGUAGACCAGCCAGCUAAUCAGCUCAAAAGUACUUUACAAUGGCAGUACAAGUAAAAAGCUGAUGAGUCAUUACCCUUCAGAUGCAUUCGGGCAAAAUAAAUACUGCAGGCAGCCAAGCCAAAUCGUCUAUAAAAGGAGGAAGAAAAAUCAGGGACAAGGACACUCAAUCAAACAAACAAAUACAAGCACAAACUCUGCUCAAGCCAGAUUUGCCUUCACGAAGCUGUAGUCAGCCCUCAAGCCUUCAUCCCUUUAGGGAUCAACCUUCACCAGAAAGCCUUUGUAAAAGCUCUGCUACCCUAUCUAAAUCUUGUUGUAGUAUCGAUUACCUCUUGUAAACUCAUCUCCCAAUCUCCCUUUCUAGCAUUCAAAGCCUUUGUAAAUCACAAAGAGAGGAAGUUGCAAGACGAUCAGUCUUGCCCGACAAGGUGAAAUCUUGCCCGACCUCCUUUGUUUUUGUCUUUCAUUCAUAAAUCUAGUAAUAUGAUGUAUAUUUCCAGCUGCAUCCAAGUUAUUUCUAGCUAGUUUAUGAUUAAAAGACUUCUAAGUUCUAACCAUUCGGGCAUACAAGAUUUAUCAAUUAAAAGUCCUUGAUCUCAAGGCAUAAAAAGAACCCUAUGUGGACUUAACCCAUCCACGACAGUCCUUGAUAACAAGAAGUCCGAAGUUACUUGGGGUGCAAAUAAUUAGCCUAUUUCUUAGUUUUACUUCUGUUAUAUCAUGAUUGCUACAGAACGCUUGAGUAUAGAAUUAAUUCUGAUGAGAAGCCUUAUAGCCUAUAUCUAAGGUUCCACAAAGGCACCUAUCUGAGUCCGUUCUGCUCUGCGGGCUCGAGCGAUUAAGGUAUAACGGUUGUGAUACUUCUGCAACAAUGAAACAACCAAUAUAUGUUUGAGUACUUAAUUAGUUUUGAUUGGAAGUCUCAAUGCCUACACCUAAGGCCCCACAAAGGCACCUUUCAUUACUAAAUUCGGGCAUAUUUAAUCAAACUGAACAUUUGUUUUACAUCUGUCAUGCUAAAGAUGACAGUGCCUGAACACCUAAAUGUUAAUUUUGAUUGUGAGCCUCAAGGCCUACACCUAAGGCCCCAUAAAGGCACCUUUCAGGAUUAACUCUGUCCUUCUCUUAUAGCCCGCCAAUAAGCAGAAGCCCGAUAGACAAUAUCAACUGGCGCCAAACCUCUCGGGGAGCUGUGUGCUCGUUGGCCAAGAAAAGUCCCCACUGGAUAUUCCUCAAGACGAACAGAACUAUUAUCAAAUUAUUGUUUUGGUGCCUUGAUUACUGACGGAAAUUACAUCAGUGUUUGCAAAUAUAGCUAUGGUUGUAAAGCCGAACCUAAAAACAUUGUGCUCAAGUUUGGCUUGUUUAAUUAUUUCCGAGCUCAAGCUAGGUUUGGCUUGGUUCUUACAUGAGAGCACAAUAUUUGUAGGUUCGGAAAUUAUUAAACAAGCCAAACUUGCUACUAGCUCUCUUGUAAGAAGGGGAGGCUGCAAAUGAGAAUCAGUCUUUGCAAUCCUGUUGCUAGCUAGCAUUUUUGAAGGUCCUUGUUGGUAAGAGCGCAAAAAUUGUUUUGUUCUUACAUUUCUUUGCAUUGAGUGAUGUAUAUGUCAGCAAUUAUUUUGUUCACACAUUCCUUGUAGUAUAGGUUACUUAAGUAGUUCUUUUCGGGUUUGCUUAAAUCAUAGAUAUAGAUAGUUGUACAUGUAUACACAUGUCAUAUACAGGGCAGGCCUAGGCCCAGUGCGGGCAAGGCGACCGUCCAGGGCCCAAAAAAAUUAUGGGCACCAAAAUUAUUAGUGUGACAUAUUUAUAUACAUUUUCAUACGAGUAUAAAUUUAUUAAAUUUGGUUUAAUGACAAAGAAAUUUAACUAGAAUCGGUGAUUUUGUUGUUUGAAAUUAACGAGGUGGUCUUGGGUUCAAAACAACAUGUGUGCUUAUUUAAGUUUCAAUUUUUACAAAUUUCUUUUCAUAACAAUAUAAAUUUAUAAAAUUUAGCUAAAUGAUUAGAAGUUUAAUUAGAAGCAAUGGUUUUUGUAUUUAAAAUUAACAAGAGGUUCUAAGUUCGAAAUGCUAUGUGCAUGUUUAUUUUUUUCAAUAUUUACAAAUUUUUGUUUGGUUGCUAAUUUAUUUUUAAUUACUAGCUAGUAACUAUGUAGGUUGCUAUUUUGAAAUAGUCGUUCCAAUUCAAGUCUAAUCUACAACAAAGGGUAAAGCGUAUACUAAAUUUUUAGACCAAAUUUGCAAAUCAUAUAACGUGUCAUCAAAAGGUUUAAUUUGGUGCCCAGUCAUUACUUAUACAUAUCUUUAAAGACUAGAAAAUAUCAUUAUUUUUUUAGUCUUAUAUUGAUGAGGCUAUAACUUUAUUUAAUGAAAAAAAAAACUUAAAUUUUAAUGAAAAUGACACAAUUUUGAUAUAAAAAAAAAAAAAAAAAACCUAACCCAUCCAUCACAAAUACUAUUUAUGAAAUUGAACAGUACUAUAUUGUUUAUGAAACUUAAUGGUACUAUAUUGUUUGUACCAUACUUGACCAAUCCCGAAACUACUGAGCACCGGUCAACGUUAUACCGUCAAGGACCCAUAAGAGUUGCCCUCCAACCAGGAGGCCAAUCACAACGCGACACGUGUUGACAUCAGAAGCCAAUCAUAGCGCGACACGUGUCAACAUCAGAAGCCAAUCACAACAUGACACGUGUCAAUGUCAGAAUGAAACUAGAAACUCUCUUCUAUAAAUAGAGAUCAUUCUCUCACAAUAUUUCCGAAUGUCAUUUGUACUAAAUCAUUCACUUGUACUCACUAAAGGAGAGCUUGAACCUAUGUACUUGUGCAAAACCUUCACAAUUAAUGAGAAUUCCUCUACUCCGUGGACAUAGCCAAUUUGGGUGAACCACGUACAUCUUGUAUUUGCUUCCCUGUCUCCAUCCAUUUAGAUACUUAUCCACACUAGUGACUGAAGCAAUCUAGCGAAGGUUACAAACUUGACACUUUCUGUUGUACCAAAGUCCCCACUGAUUUUGUGCAUCAACAUUUGGUGCCGUCUGUGGGAACGACACUUAUUCUCACUCUCUUCCGCUUUGCCAAGUUGGUUUCCACCACUCAUACAUUCUCUUCUGACCAGGCAUCCCUCUCCAACAUGGGGAGCGAAGGAAGCCACAACACACAGAAUGACACCCCUCUUGCACCUAGUGCGAAGCAACGAAAGAAUGAAGGAAAGAGGGUUGCUCUUCAAGCUAAAGUUGAUGAGCUAGAAGCUCAGAACAACAAGAUAGCAAUGAAAAAUGAGGUCCUCCAGGAACAGUACGAGAAGCUCUUUGAGACGCUCCACGAAACUAGGCGUACUCAAACACGCGAGCUCGUUGCCCCUGUGGACAUCAAUCAUCAUCUGGGUGCCCCCCAACACGGAGGGUCACCUCCUUUCGACAUGGAUAUCCCUGAUGAGGAGCGAGCUAAUCAUCAAAACAUUGAUCAACAUGAGACUUAUCUCAACCCAGAUGCUUCGACCCGAAGUAGAAGAAGUGGAGGAAGACACCUCCUUGCAGAAGGGUUGGAAAGAUCGAAAGUCGAGAGAAUCCCCUCCAUAUAUGCCCAAAGAUCAAUGACCCAAUGGUUUCUAAAAGACCCGGUCCCCUCCAACGACCCAGGCUAGCUGUCAAUCUGGGGAAGAAACUACAGGUCCCAGAGGAACAUGAAAGUACGGGGGACUCUGAGGUAUUCUGACAGACUCGCCUUAAAAGUCAGUACGGUGAGUCCAAGAAAAAACCACACGCCCUUGCUCAAACUUUCCUACUUCCAAGAGACGAUGGAGACUUAUGAAAGAAAAUUCCAGUGGUACAUGACUCCACUCAGGACUCUCUUGUCCUACAGCUCAUUGAGGAAGUAAACAAGUUGAAGGCCGAAUGUUAGGCCGAGAUACCUGACUGGAACCAACCCAAGCUUGGCCCUCUCACAAGAAGGAUCCUCGACACCCCAUUCAAGCGAAGACAAAACAAAAGCUUGGUUUACAACUCUAUACUGGAAUGAAGGAUCCAAUUGAACACCUUAACCUCUUUGAGUCCACCAUGGCAUAUCGGAUGAACACCGACGAAGAACGAUGUCUUCUCUUCCCCUCCACCCUCUCUGGCGGAGCUCUAAACUGGUAUUGCCGUCUUCCACCUGAGACAGUAGACUCAUUUAAGGAACUGAGGAAACUGUUUGUCUCUCAACAUAUCUUUCAGACCGAUCGCUUACAUUCUAUAGAUGACUUGUACACUAUUUGCCAGAAGCCGGACGAGUCACUACGAGAGUAUGCCGGUCACUUCAGCCAUGAGUAUUCUCGUUGCGCUGAGGUAGAUGACAAGACCGCCCUCAAGGCCUUCACGGCAGGCCUACGUGAUUGUUUCUUCAAGUACAUGAUCAAUGCCAGCACUUGGAAGACUUACUCUGAGGUGAUAACACAAGCUUACAACCACGCCUCUGCUGAAGCAAGGACAUACCAAGGGAACCCCCAUAUGGUUAACCCCUAUCAACACGUGGUAAGUGGAAGUCAAGUUCUGCCAAGUGAGGAGAUCUUGGCCAUUCAGACACCCAUUGCAUCAUCUCCUGCCUCAUUUAGUUACUUUUUAAGUCACUAAACGUAUCUGUCUCUUGGUAAGAGGAAGGAUUUUUACUCUCAGCAAACCCAUUACAACAAGAGGGAUAAAAGUUCGUAUCAAGACAACCAGGGGUGAACGUAUCGUCGACUAUUAUGACUAUGGGGCCAGGCCUCACUCUUUCAAAGUGGAUGACCAGGUACUGAAGGAAAUGCUAUUAUAAGAAGGUAUACACAUUACAAAUGUUUUGACUCUCAACCGCUUGAGAUCUUUUGUCACACAAACCAUUCGGAAAAUUUUUAAAGAAGAGGGAAUUCAGACAACUUCUUUUGAGUCUUUUGCGUUCCUAGCACUGGAACACUUGGUCUACGCUGACCUACCCUUCUACUCCAACUUAGAGCUUCAACAUGCGUACUUUGACACAAAGUAUAUGACACUAAGUGUUACAACCAACAUGGUUCACAUAUCAAAAGCAUGGAUCCCUUCAUGCAUAGCAAAACAUUCAUAAGCAUCACUCAUAUUAAUCAACAUAAACAUCAUGCAUUCCAACACAUUCAUACAUAAACAUCAUACAUUCCAACACAUUCAUCCAUAAACAUCAUACAUUCCAACACAUCCAUACAUAAGCCAACUGUGCUUCAAAAGGGUUCAACAUACUUUGUGUCUUUGACACUUGCUACAAUGUUCCUCGACACCUUGCCCUUAUUCUCACCAACUAGGUGAUGGAAUGUGAAGAAGGAACUCAUCUUCAUGCCACCAACCAGGUGAUGAAAUGUACAACCCGUACUCUCUUUCAUGCGACCAACCAGGUGAUGAAAUGUACAACCCGUACUCUAAUAUCAUUUGGCAACUUGCCACUCAUGCCACCAACCAGGUGAAGAAGGAACCCAUCUUCGUGCCACCAACCAAGUGAUGAAAUGUACAACCCGUACUCUAAUAUCGUUUGGCAACUUGCACCUCAUGCCACCAACCAGGUGAAGAAGGAACUCAUAUUCAUGCCACCAACCAAGUGAUGAAAUGUACAACAUGUACUCUAAUAUCAUUUGGCAACUUGCCACUCAUGCCACCAACCAGGUGAAGAAAGAACUCAUCUUCGUGCCACCAACCAGGUGAUAAAAUGUACAACCUGUACUCUCCUUCAUACCACCAACCAGGUGAAGAAGGAACUCAUCUUCGUGCCACCAACCAGGUGAUAAAAUGUACAACCCGUACUCUCAUUCAUGCCAUUAACCAGGUGAUGAAAUGUAUAAUCCAUACUUUAAUAUCAUUUGGCAACUUGCCACUCAUGCCACCAACCAGGUGAAUAAGGAAAUCAUCUUUGUGCCACCAAUCAUGUGAUGAAAGCAACUCACCAUUCAUUCCACCAAACAGAAGACGAGUGGUACAACUUGUACAUGUGAACUCCUAGCAUUCACAAAUAAUAAAAAACCCUCAUGUUUUACAACUCAACUAGGGGAGCACUUAUGCCCAACAAGAGUUAUAGUCACUAACAAAGUCUAUUGCAAGCCAACAACAACUUCAGUGCAUGACAUACGAAGAUCAAGCUAUUCAGCCCUCUUGCAUUUGCUUCAGACAUUUCUCCUUUGUAAUAAUGCAAACAUUACAAGGUGUGGCUUGCAUCAGAAUCUUUUGCUCAACAGUGUGGAAGCAAAAUUUGUAUAUGUUGUCAUCAAAGGAGUUCAACCACAAUUCUCAAAAGCUUCACACACUCUUAAUCAAGACAGUGUGAAGCAAAACCAAUCUAUGGUGCCAACAAAAGCUUCAUCAAUGGAGGGCAACCACAAUUCUCAAAAGCUUCACACACUCUUGAUCAAGACAGUGUGAAGCAAAACCAAUUUAUGGUGCCAAUAAGAGCUUCAUCAAUGGAAGGCAACCACAAUUCUCAAAAGCUUCACACACUUUUGAUCAAGACAGUGUGAAGCAAAACCAAUUUAUGGUGCCAACAAAAGCUUCAUCAAUGGAGGGCAACUACAAUUCUCAAACCUUCGAAGCAAAUUCAAGACUGUUCGAAGCAAAUUCAAUUUAUAUGGUUCAUCCAAACCUUCGACUACUACAAGGUGUGGCUUGCAUCAUAAUCUUUUGCUCAACAGUGUGGAAGCAAAAUUUGUAUAUGUUGUCUCUCCCACAUUUUCAAAUUUCUAUUUCCCAAAAAAAAAAAAAAAAGGGAAAUCCAACAAAAGCUUCAUCAAUGGAGGACAUCUACAAAUUCUCAAAAGCUUCACACUAUCUUGAUCAAGAUAGUGUGAAGCAAAAUCAAUUCAUGGUACCCAACAAAAGCUUUAACUCCAAAGCUUCACCUACAAAACUUUAACUCCAAAGCUUCACCUACAAAAGCUUCAACUCCAAAGCUUCACCUACAAAGCUUCAACUCCAAAGCUUCACCUACAAAAGCUUCACCCACAAAAGCUUUAACACAAAAGCUUCACCCACAAAAGUUUCACCUACAAAAGCUUGACCCACAAAAACUUGACCCACAAAAGCUUGACCUACAAAAGCUUCACCCACAAAAGCUUCAACACAAAAGCUUUACCAACAAAAGCUUCAUCAAUGGAGGACAACUACAAAUUCUCAAAAGCUUCACACUAUCUUGAUCAAGAUAGUGUGAUGCAAAAUCAAUUCAUGGUACCCAACAAAAGCUUCAACUCCAAAGCUUCACCUACAAAGCUUCAACUCCAAAGCUUCACCUACAAAAGCUUCAACACAAAAGCUUCACCCGCAAAAGCUUCACCCACAAAAGCUUCAACAUAAAAGCUUCACCCAUAAAAGCUUCAACUACAAAAGCUUGACCCACAAAAGCUUCACUUACAAAAGAACCUACAAAAGUUUGACCCACAAAAGCUUAACCCAUUUAGAAAGGAAAUGCCUCAUUCAAAUAUAUAUAUAUAUAUAUAUAUAUAUUUUUUUUUUUUUUUCGGAAAUUUGAAAAUUCAAAAAUUCGGAAAUUUAAAAAUUCGAAAAUUCGAAGAAAAAAAAAUCCUCUUCUUUGGGCCUAACAACUUUCAUAACAAAUAUAUAUGAAGAAGGAGUUUUGGGCUACCACUUAGAUAGGAAAUGCCUUAUUCGUCAACUCCCUCGACCGGAGACUUGGGGGACUCCUACCAUAUGCUACUGCACCUUGAUACUCAGAAGUCUCACGACCACUCAGUGGCUUGGAUUUUUCAAGUCUCCAAACUAGAAGUUUUCCUCACUCGAGAAAUUAAGGAAGCACUACUUCAACCUACAUGCUUCACCCACAAAGCUUCAACAUACAAGCUUCAACAAAAGGAAAAAUUCAAAGAACUUAGUGAAGAAGGCCUUGGUGUAUUUAACACAAUACGUUGAAAUGAAGCAAAGCUUGUUUAUUGAUAUCUCCGAUAAGUUACAAAUAUGUACAUAUACAUGAAUCAAAAUAAACAAACAAGAGGGAGCCUUCACAAAGGUUGCUCAAGAGAAGUCUCAGCAAUUGGCAGAGCCCCAGAAAGAGGAGGCACCAGAAGGUGAUUAUUCGGAGCCUCAGUACUAGGCAGAACUCUAGAAGGAGGAGGCACCGAAGGUUGAUCAUUUGGAGCUUCAUUACGCGGUACAACCCUAGAAGACGAAGGCAAUAAAUGCCUUUGAAACAAACCCACAAACCUCUGAUGAUCAAGUAAAAUCUGACCAUCAGAUUCCUGCAGCUGGUCGAGCUUCCUCUUCAUGUUUGUAGCAUAGUCAUGUACGAGCCUGUGCAACUGUUUAUUCUCAUGCUUGAGCCUUCUGAUCUCCUGUUUUAGACUUAUCACUUUAGCCGCCAAUAAUUCAACUUGGCGGGUUUGAGCAAAUAAACGUUGGGCCAUAUUAAACAUAGAACCUGCACACUGAACACUGAGAGCCAGAGAAUCCUUAACAGCCAACUCAUCAGACCGUUUGGAAAGUAGUCUGUUAUCUUUGUGAGUGAGAAGGUUCCUGGCCACCAUCGCAGCGAUCAUAUCAUUCUUCAUCACAAAGUCCCCAACGGUAAGAGAACCAGUAGGGGAUAAGAAGGAUGGGCACCAUAUGUUGUCUUGAGAAGGCACGGCUGCCUCUUUACCAAAGUUCAAGUCAAAACGACAGUCGGAUGAGCCAGACAUUCUCAGAAAUGAUGAAGGAGAAAUGAGGUGCAAUAAAUCUUUGAAGUAAGGGGAAAAUUCCUACAAGAAAUAACUCUUUGAAUGUACUUCUUGCACACAAUUGGUGCCCUAAUAAAAGAAAGGGCAACAUGGCCGUUGGUUCAAAAAUCGAGGAGGCACCACUCUCCGGAUUCUGAAAAGGCACAAUUUUCCACACGCAACAUCAGCUCAUCGGGUACCACAGAUAACUUUGCCAAAGAUCUCUGACAAAGUUUAGACACAUAAAUUUUGAAGGUCCAGCUACCCUACUAUUACCCACAAGGGUCAAGGAACAGCAUCACUGCUUGAUAACUAGAAAGUCCUAAUGUGUGUCAACCUCCGUGCUCCGUGGCAAGGCAGACUGGUAAAAAUGCCAAACCUUUACUCACAUUCGAGAAAACACUCCCAACAAGAUUGCUUGCUCAAAAAUCAAAAAGGCACAUCUCUCCGAAUCUCGAGAGCCAAACUCCCAACAGGAUUACGUGCUUAAAAAUCGAAGAGGCACCGCCCUCUGAAUCUCAAGAGCUAGAUUCCCAACAGGAUUACUUUCUUAAGAAUCGAAAAGACACUGCUCGAGUCAGACUCCCAACAGGAUUGCUUUCUCAAAAGUCGAAGAGGCACUGCUCUCCGAAUCUUAAGAGCCAGACUUCCAACAGGAUUAUGUGCUCAAAAAUUGAAGAGGUACCGCCCUCUGAAUCUCGAGAGCCAGACUCCCAACAUGAUUACUUUCUAAAAAAUCGAAGAGACAAUGCUCUCCGAAUCUUAAGAGUCAGACUCCCAACAUGAUUGCUUUCUCAAAAAUAGAAGAGGCAUCGUUCUCUGAAUCUCGAGAGCCAGAUCCUUGACAGGAUUGCUUGUUCGAAAACUGAAGAGGCACCUCUCUCCAAACUUCGAGAGCCAGAUUUCCUUGGAUAAAGCUUGUCUGCAAUCUUCACACGCAACAUCAGCUUUCCAGAUACCACAUACCACUUUUUCAAAGUGCUCUGACAAAGUUAAAACACGCGAAGCUUGCAGCUCCCACUACAUUGCUAUGACCAAGAAAGGUAAAGGAAUAACAUUACUACUUGUUGUUAGGGAUACUUCUAUCUAUGUUGACCUUCAUCCUCCACAACCAGGCAGACCUGCAAAUAAAAAAAAUGCUUAACUUUUCUUCACAUCAGAGAGGGCACUCUUAGCAGAGUCUCUCGAAAUACUCAGCUUCUUUUCCUCCCGAUAAUACCUCUGCAAACAAGCCACACCAGAGCAAGAGUAUCUCAUAUCAUUAGGGUUAAAAGCAAGAGUAUCCCAUAUCAUGCUUUUUCCUUAUCUUUUCCUUUGGCCUUAUUCUUACCUGCAAGACAAGAAGAAAAAGAGUAAUUAGUCAGCACUUGGAAUCCAGCUUCCAGUCAGGAACUGACUGCCUGUAACCCUUUGCCUAAUUACUUACCUGGCAUUUCUCUUGAGUACUCAUCUUCAACAUCUUAUGCUUCCAAAGAAGAUACCACAUCUGCCUGAGGAACAGAUAGGGCAAGUGAGAAGGAUACAAGGAAGCACGUGGAGACAAGCGUAACAGAACACGUGCCGAUACAUCCACUACUUUGUCAACAGCAAAAGUAUCCUAUAUCAUCAGGGUCGAACGUACUCUAGAUUUGAUGGACUUGUUUUGACCCUCAAAUUUUUGAGUCGGCCUUAUACUCUGGAGGAAACCAGAAAACCCUCCAGUCCAGUUCAAGAAUAAGCAUGUGGAAAGUUACUUCUUCAAAAGCAAAAGUAUCUUAUAUCAUCUCUUCUCCAUUUGCUUCCCUUUAUUCUUGUUGCUGUUUAUGACACAAGGAGAAUGAGAACAAUCAACCGGAAGCCGAAGUCGAACCUCUAAUCCAGGUUGCUUGCUUGGAAGUCCGAUUGCUUACCUUGUCUGUUACCUCAUUCGUCAUAUCUCCUAGAUCGGCGACUUGGGGGACUCCUACUAUAGGGUUUGUAUCGCACUUGACCAAGCCCGAAACUACAAGUAAGCUUCAAGUGAAAUUGAUACAUUACCUUGUGCAUCUUCAUCGGUUAAAGAUACCACCCCUGGAUGGUGAAAAAGUACUUCCAGAGAAGAUGCCACAUCUACAUAUGAGACAGAUAAGGCAAGUGAAAAUGAUGCCACACUUCGGUACUUAGAAGUUUCGUGAUUACUCAAUGGGCUGGAUCUUGCAAGUCCCCAACCGAGGAGCUUCCCUCACUCGGGAACUUAGGGGAGCACUGUUUGUACCAUACUUGACCAAUCCCGAAACUACUGAGCACCGGUCAACGUUAUACCGUCAGGGACCCAUAAGAGUUUCCCUCAAACCAGGAGCCAAUCAUAGCGCGACACGUGUCAACAUCAGAAGCCAAUCAUAGCGCGACACGUGUCAACAUCAGAAGCCAAUCACAACACGACACAUGUCAAUGUCAGAAUGAAACUGGAAACUCUCUUCUAUACAUAAAGAUCAUUAUCUCACAAUAUUUCCGAAUGUCAUUUGUACUAAAUCAUUCACUUGUUCUCACUAAAAGAGAGCUUGAACUUAUGUACUUGUGUAAACCCUUCACAAUUAAUAAGAAUUCCUCUACUCCGUGGACGUAGCCGAUCAGGGUGAACCAUGUACAUCUUGUGUUUGCUUCACUGUCUCCAUCCAUUUAUAUACUUAUCCACACUAGUGACUGAAGCAAUCUAGCGAAGGUCGCAAACUUGACACUUUCUGUUAUACCAAAGUCCCCACUGAUUUUGUGCAUCAACAUAUACUAUUUAUGAAACUGAACGGUACUAUAUUAUUUAUGAAAUUGAAUAGGAUUACACUAUUUAUUGAUCCAAAUUCAUAAAUAGUGCCUAGUUCUUGGUUCACUUUCAUAAAUAGUGCCUAGUUAUUGGGUCCAGUUUUAUAAAUAGUGUAUAGUAAUUGGUACAAUUUCAUAACUAGUGUCUCACUCUUUGUCCAGUUUCAUAUAUAGUGCCUAGUUCUUGGUCCACUAUCAUAUAUAGUGCCUAGUUCUUCAUCAUUUUUCAUAAAUAGUGUCUAGUUCUUGGUCCAAUUUCAUAUAUAGUGUAUAGUAAUUUGUACAGUUCCAUAUCUGACUUGGUCUAGUUUCAUAAAUAGUGUCUUUUUCUUGGUCCAGUUUCAUAAAUAGUCUAUUUCUUGGUCCAGUUUUUUGGUUCAGUUUUAAAAAUAAUGCCUUCUUUGAUUUUGAUGCAUCCUCUGCGCAACAACCACCUUCAAGAGAUACUCAGUUGUUCCUCCCUUCUUUUUCACGUUCUCUUCAUGAGAUACCCAAAUCAAACACAACCCUUGCUACGAAGCUACAUAGCUUUGUAAUCACAUAAAAAUGUUGGAGUGGGAGCGAACAAAAAUGUUGGAGUGGUGAAAAAUUUCUUGAGAAAGUUGGAGAUCACCCAGUGGCCGUGAACAGGAAAUUCCAUAAUAACAAAAAAAAUUACUAAAAAAAAAAUUGAAGUGGGUGAAAACCCUGAAAACCCCAAUGUUUGAAGAAAUUGAUGUUAAGUACCUGGGAGUGCUCAUUGAGUUGCACGCGCGCCAAUAAGGUUUUUUUUUUCUUGUGUCUUUAUUAUUAAAUAAAGUUAUAGGAUAGCUUUUGGUUAAAAUGUAAAGUUUUAGAGUUAUUUUCAUUAGUUUUCAUUUUUAUUAAAGACUUACUUUUAGCUAUGUCCUAUGAAACUCGAAUUUAAUCCAAUUUUGCUCAUUGCAGCUCAAAAGUCGCCACUUUACCUCUAAAACUCAAAGUUCACUUCACUUUGCUCCAUGGAAUUCGAUUUUGAUUGCAUUUUUCCCUUGAAACUUGAAAGUCUUCUCUAUAAAACUCAAAAUUCUCUCCACGUUGUCUUAGAUUUGUUAAUCUCUUAUGUGAUUUUGAUUUGGGUGCACCAUGCAAAUCAAUUUAUUUUUUAGUUUUCAUCUCUUUAAUUUCUUUUAAACUUAAUUUUUUCUGAGUCUAGAAUGUUAACACAUAAUAGAGAUUUAUAAUCAAAUUUAUUGCUCAUGUGGCAUAGUCUUAUUGGUUGUUGGAUCCCACAUAUGUUUUAGGAUGUGACAUAAACGUUUUAGGAAGAAGAGAGUCCACAAGUCAAAGUGGAACGAAUUUUGAGUUUUAAGAAGUAAAGUGGUGAUUUCUGAGUUACAGGAGUCAGGAGGCAAAGUGAGAGCAAAAUAGAGUUCUACAUAGUGUAGCUAAAAAUAAGCAUUUGUGAAUUUAAUAUUAAAAAAUGUUAUUCUUACCAUCUAUUUGUACUAUCAUUUGUAUUAUCUUUCUAAUAGAGAUGAAAAAUUAUUUGUAUUAUUGAAAAAUAUUUAAACGUGUAUUAAAAAUAGGGGUGUGCUAUCCACACACCCCAUUUUACUUCUCACACCCCUUGAUAAUUUCUGUCCAUUGAUCUUCUUCAAUUCAUCCGAUCCAACGGCUGAAAAUUAAAAAGGUAUUUGAGAAGUAAAAUGGGGUGUGUGGAUAUUACACCCCUAAAAAUAAAAAGUAUGUAUGUACGUGUAGAACACAUGUAUCAUAUAUUAGAGCUUAAAAACAAGUGCAAUCUUUAAGAUGUAAAAAAAAUUGUACCAUAUGCAUAUUACACGCGAAUUUACUAACUAUAAACUCAAAAUACAUACAAGAAUAGACUCUUGCAUCCAGGUCCACCAAAAUGGGUCGUGUGAGAUCCAAAUGCCAAAGAGAGGUCCACCAAAAUGGGUCGGGUGAGAUCCAAACACCAACGAAAGUUUUCCUUGUAUUUUUCUUAAGUGUAUAUGUAACGUGACACGGGAACUGAUACUUAAAAGGAUUCCUCAAUUCAUAUGGAAAAAGAUCCUCUUUGGAUCUCUCCCUCCAAAGCUACCGGAUUAAGUGAUCUAGGCUUUUGAAAUUUAAUCCAACGGCUAAAAACAGAGAAGUUAGUAAAAAAAUAAUUAAAAGCUAUAAUAGUUUUUAGCCGUUGGAUCAAAUUUCAAAAACCCGAUCAUUUGAUCUGAUGGUUUUAGAGAAAGAGAUCCGGAAAGGAUAUCUUUUCAAUUCAUAUGGCCCUAUAAAAGUUUCUAUCGUGUGGAGCCAUGCUUUACUAGAAAACUAGGUUGUUCAAAAACGCGUAAAUGGAGAAAGAAGAAGUUAAAAAUACAGAUGAGAAUGGAAAGGUUGAGGGAGCAGAUUGAUUCCACUAAAAAUCGUUUGUUACUGGAAAAUGUGAUUUCCUUGAAGUCAUGAAAGUUUUAUUUCGAUUGGUUGCUUUGAACCGGGCCUGCAUUGACUGACCAGUUGUUGUGUUUGAUGUGUUGGUUGUUUUACCUUCCUUGGAUCAAACUGGCCACCAUUUGACAUUCUUUCAAAACCUUAAUAAUUGGAUCACUAGUUCAAUUUUCCGUUCUUUCAAUAAAUAAUUGGACCACUACUUCUUGAACUAUUAUCAAAUUGUUGUUUUGGUCCCUUGAUUACUGACGGAAAUUACAUCAGUGUUUGCGAAUAUAGUUAUGGUUGUAAAACCGAAUCUAAAAACAUUGUGCUCAAGUUUGGCUUGUUUAAUUAUUUCCGAGCUCAAGCUAGGUUUGGCUUGGUUCUUACACAAGAGCACAAAGUUUUUCAGUUCGGAAAUAAUUAAACAAGCCAAACUUGCUGCUAGCUCUCUUGUAAGAAGGGUAGGCUGCUGAUGAUAAUCAGUCUUUGCAAUCCUACUGCUAGCUAGCAGUUUUGAAGGUCCUUGUUGGUAAGAGCGCAAAAAUUGUUUUGUUCUUACAUUUCUUUGUAUCGAGUGAUGUAUCUGUCAGAAAUUGUAUCGAGUGAUGUAUAUGUCAGCAAUUAUUUUGUUCACACAUUCCUUGUAGUUCUUAUCGGGUUUGUUUAAAUCAUAGAUAUAGAUAGUUGUACAUGUAUACACAUGUCAUAUACAGGGCAGGCCUAGGCCCAGUGCGGGCAGGGCGACCGUCUGGGGCCCAAAAAAAUUAGGAACAUCAAAAUUAUUAGUGUGGCAUAUUUAUAUGCAUUUUCAUACGAGUAUAAAUUUAUUAAAUUUGGUUUAAUGACAAAGAAAUUUAACUAGAAUCGGUGAUUUUGUUGUUUGAAAUUAAUGAGGAGGUCUUGGGUUCAAAACAACAUGUGUGCUUAUUUAAGUUUCAAUUUUUACAAAUUUCUUUUCAUAACAAUAUAAAUUUAUAAAAUUUGGCUAAAUGAUUAGAAGUUUAAUUAGAAGCAAUGGUUUUUGUAUUUAAAAUUAACAAGAGAUCCUAAGUUCGAAAUGCUAUGUGCAUGUUUAUUUUUUUUCAAUAUUUACAAAUUUUUGUUUGGUUGCUAAUUUAUUUUUAAUUACUAGCUAGUAACUAUGUACGUUGCUAUUUUGAAAUAGUCAUUCCAAUUCAAGUCUAAUCUACAACAAAGGGUAAUGCGUAGACUAAAUUUUUAGACCAAAUUUGCUAAUCAUAUAACGUGUCAUCAAAAGGUUUAAUUUGGUGCCCAUUCAUUACAUAUACUUAUCUUUAAAGACUAGAAAAUAUCAUUAUUUUUUUAGUCUUAUAUUGACGAGGUUAUUAAAUAAGAAAAAACACCUCACAAUUUUGUUCACCCUAAAAACUACCAAGCCUACGUGGUGCGCAGGCCAAGUAAUUAAUAAGUUAACUAUGUCCUUCAGUUAUGUGCGAGGCAUGCCAACUCGACGGCCGAGCUCAGCUGAGGAGUAAAAUUUGUUGAUAUUGUGUUGAGUGCGCUGCUGACUUCUUGAUCUUGUGACUACGGUUGAGGAAGGAACACGUCUCAGCCUUCGGGUUCCAGAGCCUGAAGAUAAGGCUACUAGUCUUGCGAAGUUCACGGAUCGUCAGCAUCGGGUUCGGUCACGGUGAUUAUAUUCAUGAGAGUAUAAGCACGUCGAACUGGCACCAAACUAUACGGACACAAGUACUCAAAAUAGAUGUAUGUCUUGAUAGUAAAUGUCGUUCAGCCAUCAAAAUGCCGAACUCUAAAACUUACUUGUGAAUAUCCAAUCAUAAACAACUCAGCUUUCAAUGUGUCGAGCCCAAUAAUCUGUAACACCUCACUUCGCCGAAAAGGCUAAUGAGAAGACCUUCGCCAACAAGAACUAAAAAAUCCUUCUUGGCCGAGACUUGGAUAGGUAACCAGUCGGCCUCGACGCAGUGCUGUUUAUCCAAACUGAAGGUGCUCCAAGGUCAGCUGAUUCUACGACAACAGUUUUGUUUAUCCAAACUGAAGAUGUAGCCGGUUGCCUUCAUAGUGUUGUUUAUCCAAACUGAAGAUGUGUUAGCGAAAAAGAAAAUAAAAAUCUCAAGAUGUUUGAGAGGUUUCGCUUAAAGCGAGGGUUUGCGCAGGGUAGUUUGUGUGUUGAAUUGGAGGGGGCUUAGAAUGACGCACCCCCUUCUUAUUUAUAGCAGCCAAUCUCGAUAUAACCGAACCAGAACUACACUCGGAUUAGGAUUCUUCAUCCUAAUCUAACCAGAUCUCGGCCAAUCCUUCCUCCAUUAGGACUUUGAACCAACAUCUUUAUUCGGCCAUAUUCACUUCUCAAAUCUCAGCAUCCUCAUUCCAUUGUGACUCCUUAUUAUACUAGGAUUCGACUCACCCCAUCAAUCAUCCCCAUAUUAGGACUCGGCCGAUCUUAACCAAGCAGCCCAUGAUAAUUCUAGAAACAUACUGCCGGGCUGAGAACAACUCCUAACUCGGCCCACAUCAAUAUUUUGGGCCCAAACAUUGCCCCUUUGCUUCUGAGGUCCUUAGCUUUCAUUCCUAGGCCGAGCCUCGACCUUGAAGAAGCGAAAUCGACUCCUAUACCUCUAUAAUAAAAACUGAAAUACCUCAAAUAAUCGUUAAGUCAUCGAAUCGUCUUUUCAUCAUAAAAACCUGCCGCCACACGUCACCACGUCACCUUAAUCCACGAGUUAUUCGCUCCUUUCAUAUGGAUUCCCUAAAUAUCCGUGAUGAUUGCAAAACUGUCUGACUGGUCUUACCUUUUUUCAAAAAUCAAACGAUUGGCCUUCUUCCAAAAACCCAUAUAAAUACCCAAAUUCCUUCAUUUUUUUUCCUUUAUGCUUUCAGAAAUUUCAAACCUUUUACUCCCAGAACAACCUUCAAAGCUCAUUCUCUAACUAUAAAAACUUUUAAGUCCAGAAAUUUCUUCGAGUUCUCAAUGGCUUCCAACACCUUAAUCUCCAAACUUUCCGACGAAUGCGCCAAGUGUCGGGACUUCAUUUACUGGAACCACUCUUUAAAGACAAUGUCUCAGCGUCCAUUACCAAUCUCCUCAAAGCUCACUGCUUGGAACCCUUGUUUCAAGGAUAUGACUGAUCGAAGUGGGAACUGACCAAACCUCAGGGGGCUUGGCCUUCAACUAUUGUGGCCUGGGUAGCUUGGGUAGAGAGGAUGGAGAAGUUCUUCAACAAGGAAUGGAAGACUCUCGGUAUUUACGAUGCCAUCAAGUUUUCGACCAUCGAGAUUGCCAUGGACAAAGAACUUCUCAUGGCAGCUCUAGGUUUUUGGUGCUCUGCCACCAAUACUAUGGUCCUCCCACUCGGUCCCUAUUGGCCCCACUAUUCUCGACGUCUCAGCCAUCAGCGGGAUUUCCCCUUCAGGUCUUCUGAUUAAUGUCGUCCUCUCUGGGUACCAAUCCAACCUCGACCUCAAGACACUCUUCAAAUAACGUGUUAUCGAGUCGCUGAGGAAGAAAAACCAAGAGCCAUCAAAAGCAAAAGUUCAGAAGUUACACAAGAAUUUCUUCAACUACAACACCAUCAUCCAACACUUCGCUGGCCGAGGGGAAGAAACCCUUAGGAAGGGAGAACACAAAGCCUUCCUAUUUUACUGGUACAACAAAUUUAUUUACUGUACCAAGUCGAAUAAAUGUUUGGUCAAGAACAUGCCGGUUGUUGAAGCCCUAGCCAGUGGUCAUAUCUUGGCUCUUAGCUCGGCUAUCUUUGCCAACCUCACCCGCUGUCUAGUUGAGACGACGGUCAACAAGAUUGACCCACAUCAGAAUGGCCCAUUCUAGGUUCUUCAACUCUAGCUGCAAGCCUACUUCCCCACUCUCAGGCUAGAAGUCCCCAACUUCAAGUCCUCUGAAGCACUAGGUCUUAAAUUGGGCUCUAGACCCGUUCUUCUUCACUUAGCCGAGGAAGUUUUUAAAUACUUUUUCAGCCCAAAAGACAUUUUCAACGACGAGUUUCUAAUCUGCCGUCGUCAAAAAUAUCCCUCUUCCAUCAAGCUUCCAUCCUCGGCAUGGAAUGAAGCAGAAGAUGCUGACCUUCGAAAGAACUGGGGAUCGUUUGUGUUAACUCGUGACCUUCCUCUCGGCUGCGAUGCUAAGCGGGCAAGUUGGAAAGUCUACCAACCCAACUUCACCACACGGUAACUCGGCUACCUCUAAGGCUGCCCAAUGUCUCUACUCACCUCUCAUUCUCUCCUAAGCCGAUGAUACCUCUCUGGUUCUUCAGAAAGAUAAUGCAGGAGGCUAAGUAGGAAUUUUAAGAAAGGUGCAAGAAAUUCCACCUCCGGCCAAACGUCCCUGAGACUCUCAAUACUGCGACCUUUGUUGACUAGUGGGCUGUAUAUACUCAAGACUUUUUUGGUGCACCGGUUGAAAACGUUAUCAAGAAAAUUUUCGACGAUCGCCUGAAGAAGACUCCCACCCCAAAAUCCAAAGAAACGGCUCAAGGUAUUUGUCUGCGUUUCUCAUUUCACUUUGGCCACUUGUUCAAACUCCCUUUCUGAUUUGAUUUUAGCUUUUUCAGGCAGUCAUAUGGAUGUGGCAGCUGCGGCCGUGGCUAAGAAAAAACUUGCCCUCUCACUAAAGAAAACCGUGAUUGCUUUGUUGACCUUGCCAGGGAAAUGGUCUCGCCUAGAUGCCGAGCGACGCUCCCCGUACUAAAAAAUGCAUCAAGAAGUUGGCAAAAAAAUGGGAGCGGGAGAUUCAUGUCAUCUCCAGCCAAACCACAUGAGCAACUGCUGAGUCUCCUCACUUUCUUGAUGUUCAAGCCUCAGCGGACAUGCAACCAGAACCUCAUACUAGUCACGCACCUGAGGUUCGUCCCGUUCAACAAGUUGUGGUUGAGCCAACCGUUGAUCUGGUGGUCAAAUAACAUGUAGCUCCAGGGCCGGCCGUUGCACUUGUCUUGGAGGAAGCGGCCACCUUAGCCGAGAAAAAUCUCUUUCAGAAUCCAAAAACAAAACCAGUAGUCGUUCUGGAGGAAAAGGUAUGAUUUUGUUGCUGGCAAUUUUUUCUUCAACUAGAUUCCAAAUACUAACAACUCUUAUUUCAGGAUGACAACAGCGAAGAAAUCCCGCUAAUAAGUCGCCUUUGACCAACUAAACCCCCUACCACUAACCCUCCGGUUAUGGUUGAGGCGACUGACCAGGUCGAUCCUUCUGCAGCUGAUCGUGGAAAAAGGCCACUUGUCGAGCCUGAAGUGACAACGGAGACACCAAUCCAUUCGCAGGAUCAAGACCCAUUCCUCAUUAAUAAGUUAUUUCGACCCUUGUAAGGCUCAAUCAUUUCUUUCGUUUAUUUUACUAUAACAAGUCUGAAUCAAGAAAAAUAUUAAAUAUCAGGUGCCUGAUUAUUCCUUUCACCGAAAAUUCUAUGCGCCGAAGAGUGUUAUCUAUAUUUCCUGGCCACCUCAGUGGCAGUCGAAUGUAGAUAACCUUCGUCAGCCGCGUGAAUUGAGAAGCAGUCUUAAACACAGGGCUUGUCCAUUAAGCUCUCUAGGUUCGAGCAAUGAACCAUAGGACAUGGCCGAAGUCUCAUCUCGGCAGGUCUAAAACAAAUUAUGUAUGCUAUAUUCUUUACAAUUUUCCUUUUGCCUAAAAUAUUUUCAUGUGCAGCCUUCAUGGGAAGUCAAGCUCGACACUUUCCUUUCAAAUACUUCUAGAGUAGCCGGGUCAUCUGUUGUGUCGGCAGAGCCUUCGGCGAUCACGGCGGAAUCUAAUGUCUUCGCCAAGUUGCAGAAACUCCUAUCCCUUUCCUGCCUCACAAGUCCUUCAAUGUAAAGGCCUCGACUCUAUAGGAGAAUGCCUGAACGAUCUUGUAGCCAGUGGUUUGCUGAGCAUCGAAAAUGUCAUCCACCUAUCCAAUCUUCUAGAGCAGACCCGGCAGUACUUUAUUAUUUUUGAACAGGCUCUCAGGGCAGAAGACGACCUAAAGGCUGCAAAGAUUAUUUAUGAAGCCAGUCGGCCGGAGGUUGAGGCCAUAAAAGUAAAGAAAACGUGGCUGGCCAUUCUGAAUCAUCAAAUUGCCGAAUUUCAAUUUUAAAUUGCUGAACUUCAACGGCAAAGGUCGGUUGUUGCUUCAGAACUCGAAAAGAAUUUUGAAGUGAAUAAGGCUCGACUGACGAACUUCACGAUUGGCAUAAAGCAGAUCCAGAAACUUCAGCUUAAUAAAAGAACGAGGCAAGCUGAAGUCACAAGGGGCAAAGUAAGAUGGUUGGAACUGAAGGCCGUUCUUAAAGCCUUUAUUCCUUUGACCCCUUAGGAUUUUGGCCUUAGGAAUCUUUUGUAACUUCACUUGUACGCCCUUUUACAAAAUUAAUGAAAUGAUCUUUUAUUCUCGCGUCUCCUAAGUGACUGGAUAAUAUUUGUUUAAAAAUUUCCUGUUGUUCAGCAAUUUGUGAAUUAAACCAGUCCGAUCCUUGAGGUGGUAUACCCUCUUACCGAGAACUUUAUGAAUGACGAACGGUCCUUCCUAAUUCGAUGACCAUUUGCCGAACAUGGGGUCUUUAAUCCCCAUAGGUAGCACAGUUUGCCAAACCAACUAUCCCUCUCCAAAUGUUUUUUGUCUGACUCUUUAAUUAUAGGCUCGCUCGGCAAUCAUCUUAUAUGCCACCAAUAAAUUAUAAGCAUCAAACCAAAUUUCUUCCAAGUCUUCUAAGUCUUGUCUCAUGGCAUAACUGUACUCGGCACUGAACAAACUACUUUGUUCAAUCACUCGCAACGAGUUUAUACUUAGCUUGACCGGUAUUAUCGCAUCGUGUCCAUAGGUUAAAGCGUAUUGAGUCGUUCUGGUGGUUGAUUGGAAUGAAGUUUGAUAAGCCCAUAACGCUUCGUUUAACUUUAAAUGCCACAUACCGGGCCUCUCUUUUACCAUUUUUUCGAGUAGAUCGAUCAAAACCUUAUUACUUGCUUCGGCCUGUCCAUUCGCCAGCAGGUAAUAUGGAGUAGACUGCUCGAGUCAAAUUUUUAGAUUUACCGUAUACUCCUUAAACUGUCGGAUGUAAAGAUUAUUCCAUUAUCUAUUAUGAUUGUUCCUGGUACGCCGAAUCUAGUUACGAUGUUUUCUUCUACAAAAUUACAGACUUCUUUAAACGUUAACUUGGUAUAUGACUUGGCUUCGACCCAUUUGAUGAAGUAGUCUGUCGUGACGAGUAUCCACGCAUGUUUUGCUGACCCAGAAUAUGGUGCAAUUUUGCCGAUUACAUUCAUGGCCCAUCUUCUGAACAACCAUGGUUUGGGGACCGAAUAUAGUGAUUCAGCCGGGACUCUCUAUAUAGGCCCAUGAAUUUGACAUUGUACACAUCCUUGUGCAAACUCAAUACAAUCAUUCAAUAUACUCGGCCAGAAAUAACCGUGUCGAUGAAGCAACCAUCGCAUAUUUGGUCCAGACUGAUGAGCCCCGCAAAUUCCUGAGCAGCCUCAUAAAGGCCGAGGCAUAACAGUAAUAGACCAUCCUCACCCCUUUGGUACAAUUCAUUUUGGUACGUUACAUAAUUCAUGGCGUGAACCCUUAUCUUAUGGUAUAAUUGACUUUCACCAAUCAUCUGGCAUUGCCUCGACUGCGCAAACCUUUAUAGGGUCUUUCCACUUCAACAACGAAGGUAAGGACAUGACUCGUGUAUGGAUCACGCAAUCACGUUGGAGAACUUGUUGAUUAACCAAGGCCGGGUAUGCUCGUUCUGACACAAGUAUUUCUCGACCUAGUUUGCCCUCCAUGAGUUGUGCUCCGGAGGCUAUUUGAGCUAAUUCAUCUGCGUCAGUGUAUCGAACUCGUGAAAUGUGUUUGAAAGUAACAUCGUCGAACGGCCAAAUAGUUGGUAAUCAUGUGAUAGGGUGCCAGAGUACAACUCAUGCAACGAAAAGUCCCAUUAAGUUGGUUAAUCAGAAGUUUAGAACCACCGAGAAUAAAGACACGAGUUGCCCACAAAUCGUGUAGGACACCAAGGUCGAUGAUAAGGGAUUCGUAUUCAACCUGAUUAUUCGUACAAUCGAAAUCGAGCUUAAGAGAAAAUUACCAGCCAUUGUGAUUUGGGGAUUGAAUAACGAUCCCAACGCUAGCCAAAACUGAAGUACUUGAACCAUCAAAGUACAUCGUCUAGUAAUUAUCACGUGUUUCCACCAUGCCGAUUUCAACGUCAUUGGCCUCAAAACCGUAUGGUGAGGGAUGUUGGGCCAAGAAAUCGGCCAACGUUUGGCGUUUGACAUCUUUUUGGGGCACAUAUUGUAAACUGAAUUCAGACAGUGCCAUUGUCCAUUUUCUGAUUCGGCCUUUUACUAUAGGCCGAGUGAGCAUGUAACGAAUGACAUCAGUUUGGGUGAUGGCCUGAGUGAUUGACGGGAGCAUGUAAUGCCAGAUUUUUGAUGCAACGAAAAAUAAGGCUAGGCGGAGCUUCUCGACGGCAGAAUAAUUAAUCUCCAGUGGGUUGCGAUUUCGGCUAAGAUAAAAACUGGCCUAUUCUCACCCAACAUCAUUGUUUUGUGUAGAUCUCGUACAAAUACUCGGAGGACUUAAAUGUAAUUAUGUGAUAAAUGAAAGGGAAAAUAUGUAAUAAGUGAGGAGUCCUUAUUCUAUAAAAGGACCCCUUACCCUCACAAUUAGGAGAGGCCAAUUCCUAGGCCCUCUCACCCCCUCUCAAAGCUCUCACUCUCAGAGCUCUCUCUCCCUCAGAUAAAUACAUAAUCAGUGUGGACGUAGCCCAAACCUUGGGGUGAACCACGAUACAUCUUGUGUUAUUUACAUUACUUGCAGAUUCACGGUCAGAUUUACGUUGUUCCAAGACCUCCGGCUUUGUGCAUCAAUAAAUACAGAUACAUAAAACACCAUUUUUCUUUAAAACCGGAAUGAUGUUUGCCAACUAAUCGACGUAUCGAGCUGUCUGAAUAAACCCAGCUUUUAAAAGUCGAACGAGUUCAUUUUUUAUGCCGAGUAGUACUUCAGUUGAGAAUCGCCGAGGUGGUUGGCGGAAUGGUUUACACCCAGGUUUGAUGUGUAAUUCAUGUUCAACUAGCGUUCAAUCUAAACCAGGCAUCUCAUGGUAGCUCUAAGCAAAACAAUCCUUAAAUUCUCUGAGCAAAUUAUAAAGCUUGGUUUUUAUAUGUUGGGGGUAACAAAGCACUAAUGAACAAAGGCCGUGGAUCUUUGGCCAUUCCAACAUUUAUUUCCUUUAAAGGAUCCUUGACUUGAGGUUGACUAUCCUCGAGCUCGGCUAGUGCAGCCUGAACUUUGUUUAGUGAAAGUAUUGGGCCGUUGUCUCAUUUGGCCAAAAAUUCAACUAAGCUUACGUCCGAAUUUACUUGCUUGGAAAUAACAUACCAAUGGGUCAGUAGUCGUUCCAUGGUAGAUGAAACCAUGGCAUGGUGUCUGUUCUAGCUAUCUUCAGACAUUAGUGUCUAUGAUAAGAUCAGCCAACCUAAGUCUUUACGAAUCCUGAUGAACAGUCUCGGUGCCUACCUUGAUUACUUUCUGUAUUGAAAUUCGAGUCGGCCGUCCUUCCUCGUUCAAACCUUGUAGGGUAAUAUAGCCGACGUGAUCAUCGUAAUACCAUGCCUGAAUCAUAUUGGCUUCAAACGGAUGAUUGUUGGCUGGAUGAACCACAACUAAUUUACCGUCCUAAAAGAUAAGAACCUGAUAUAAUGAAGAGGGAAUGCAAUUUAUUUGAUGGAUCCAAUUCUGACUGAGCAAUGCAUUAUACUCUGUCUUGGAAUCGACGAUAAAGAAUGCGGUCAUAUGAUUGUGACCUGCAACGUUUACCUUCAAAGGAAACACUCAUUUGGUCUGAGAUUUGUCGUUGACAAAGCUGUUCAUGGUUAUUCCUGAUGGAAUGAGUUCGUUGUUAGAUCGUCGUAGUGCCUUCAUGACGGAUACAGGCAUGAUAUUGACUGUAGCCUUACAAUCGACGAAGAUUUUAAAGAUUGGAUAACCUUCAAUGUGAACUGUUACAUACAACGGCUUCAAAUGUUGAAGAUUAACCGAAGAGGAGUGGGGAAACAGUAUGGCCAUAACUGCUUUAAGUUUGUCGGCUUUACUCGCUUGCCCAUCUUCUUCGGUGGCGAUAAAGUCGACUUAUGUUACUUCUUCUGCAAUCACAUCCCCAUCCGAGGAAUUUGGUUGGUGUGUGGUUGGUUGAAAUUCAGCAGGUAAGACAUGGACCAUGCUGAUUUCCAUAUUUUCAAUGACUGAAGGGCCCAUCCGGUUUUGGUCAUCGUCUUCCGGGUUAUCAAGUACAGUAUCAUGCUUUGGAGCAUCCUCGACCUGAUUAUCUCUAGCCUCAUUGGGUACCUGCUCUUGUGGUAUGUUAACUGAACCAGUUUCAUUCUGGCUGUCAUCCUUGAGCUUGUUCAUUGCUAGGGUUUGAUUUUGUCCCUACAGUGCUUUACGGGCUCGUUCUUCAUAGGCGAUACGGCUAAGAAGACUUCGAAAUGAUGUCGUAAAUACUGAAGGUUUUCAAAAGAAAAAGAGAGCUCGACAAUGUCUAUGUCUGUGUACGGGUCAACCUCCAAGCCGAGGACCCAAGCUAGACGUAUAUGCUGGAACCUGGCGUUCAUUGCUUUAUCAUUGGUUUUCUGGAUAAUCUGUUCUGCAUCAGGGCAAGUUAGUGCCAGGUCGAGGGCUUCUUGACAUGCCUUGGGUAGGCCGUACAAAUCAUUGGCAGAAUGUUUCUUGUGAAAUUCUCACAUUUACUCCAAGGAUUCUAUGAAGAAUGGAGGAUGUAGAUUCCGUCAAACUCUUAUUAACGGUUCUUGCAGGGGUAAUGGGGGAAGCUUGCUUUCAACUUCUUUUCUGAAAUGCUCGAAACGAGCUUUCAUCUCGUCGGGCCGAAUGAGGAGUUUGAUGUGCUUCUCGGACUCUUCAAUGGUGGUUUCAAAGUCAUGAUCAAUUACCUUUUUCCCCUAAAGUAAUUCAGCCAUGAUUGCCUAGGGUUGUCGGUCAUCUCCACUUCCUGUUACUUCUUUCGGUUGCUAUUUGGUAGUUGAAGUAGCAUGCGUUGCCUAUCGUUGAGCUAUGCAAUCUAUCCAAUGGCUUCGACGUUUCUGAGAUUUGGAUAAUGCAGUAUACAUGCAUGUAGGAGAAUUGUAACUAUACCAAUGUUGGUCACUUGGCUCAGGUGGCUUGAAGGUUUUUUGAUUCGCCGAUGAACUCGAGCUGCUGGAGUUAUGCGAGUAAUAAUCCUCAUUAUAAAACGGCGCAUCAAAAUCAAGACGCCUUCUGGCUGAGGUUGGUCCGUCCAUUCAUAGUUGAGGGCUAAGCCUAUCGAACACCUUCUGGCGCUAACCUACGCUGAGUACCUUUGAAGGUGUAGCCACGACAGUGGAUGGUUGUCGUGGUGUUGGAGCCUGAGGUGGUUUCUCCUUUGGUUCGAUUAAGAUGACGCGUGUUUUACAAUGGCUGCAUAAAACUAUCAGUUCAUCAGUUUCUUCUGCACUGGAGUCUGACAUAGAUUCGACUAUAACCGGUCCUGAAAACUCUGUAGGUGGUUCGUUUGAAAAUAGAUCAAUCUUGAGUCUCGACCGAGAGUUCUGCUUUGGGACAUGUUGUAUUGGAACGAACUUAGCCUUUCCCUUCCUUUUCCUCUUGGGCAAAUGAGCAUCUACCAUGCCAACUGUCGUUGAAAGGAAGGGAUCAAAGUUAAUAAUCAUCUGUUUUUCAGGAAAUUUUAGCUUGCCUUUAUCAAUCUAGCUUUGAAUAGCAUCACGGAACACUACGCAAUUGUUUGUGGUAUGCUUAUUCGAGUUAUGGUACUUAUAAUAUGUUUUGCCUUUCAGCUCUUUGGCCUUGGGAAUGUUAUGUCCCGGCCGAAGUUUGAUGAUUUUUGCCAACAACAACUGGUUGAAAAUUACAUCGGCCUUAGUGAUAUCAAAAGUGUAAACUUUUGAGGUUUUACUUGUCUCUUCAGACCGAGCGGGUUUUGGCAUCCUUGGAAUUAAUUUGAGCAAAUGCCUUGCAUAUGUACGGUUUAUCUAUCAUUAUCUCAGCUGUGUCCACACUGGCAUAUUGGGAAUCCUCGCAUUCGGCCAAUGCGUAGCUAACCGUGGGAUUUUUGUAAAUCGUUCAUCGAGAUGGGGACUUCAAGAUCUUUUCUUCUCGGAGCAAAUACUCAUAUUGCUCGACGUGCUGGGCCAGUUCGUACAUAUCUCAGAAGUUUGCCCCUAAGAAUUGCUUUUUAUGUUCCAUAUCCAGGUCGUUCAGAACGAUUCUGAUGAAUUCAACUUCAGGGAGAGGUACUCGGCACCAAUUUCUGGCCGACGUGAACCUCGUUAAGUGUUCCAUUGGCCACUCGUUAGAUGCUUGAGCCAUUCUAGCCAGUGAUGAAAUUGACAUUUCCAUUCUGGGUUGGUAGAAUUGUUCAUGGAACUUUUCGACCAGUUCCUCCCAACUUUGGAUGGAAUGGGUGGGAGGUUGAUGUACCAAGCAAAUGCUAAACCUGUUAGCGAGAAGUUGAAUAGUUACAAUUUAUGGAAGUCGUUAUUAACAUCUCCGCAUUGCGCAGUGAACCGAGCCACAUGUUCUAACAAAGACUGGGACAAUUCGCCAGCAAAAAGGCUGAAAUCUAGGAUUUUAAAACCUUUAGGAUAUUCGAACUUCUCUACAUAAGCUGGGUAUGGAUGGAUGAACUUUGCGAACUUCAGCCCCUUUUUCAAAGCUGAAUCGAUCAUUCUUUGGACCUCGAUCACAUCGACGGAUGCUAUUUCUUCUCUCUGGUCGGAUCCGUCUGACCUGCUGCUUGAUCCUUCUUUUUUUUCCAAAUCGAACAUUUUGAGCCGAGCAAGUCCUGUCUCGGUCUGUAGCGUUGAUACCGUAUUACCCUUUGGUGGAAGUUGUCAGGAACGAUCGGUGGGUUCGUUGUCGUAAACUUUACAAACCAAUAAUUCGAGCGCUUUGUUGUGUGCCUCACCACUACUACGUAUUACUUCAAGUAUGCUUCUUACUUCUCAACUGAAAAUAUGAGAUUCGAGUCUUCUCCAAAGAAAAUGUCUAAUAGGUAGAUCAGAACCUUCACUAUCAUCCUCAUCACAAUCUUUUAUUAAAACGCCAUUGGUUCUGUUAGGGGUUUUUGCAUUAAGGGGCUAGCUGCCAAGGCCAACUUCCUUUUCUCGGUGUGUCACACUUAUGGCCUCAGGCUUCAAGGCAAUAGAAGGAUUCUGUGCCUGUGACGAGUCUUCUUGUCCUGGGUUCUAGACUAGAAGAUUGGUGGUGGACUUUCCUAUGACUGUUCUCUUUUUAGCCGAUCAUGUCUCAAUGGUCAUGAAAUUCGUAGUUAGCACUGGGUCCCACUAGGCAUGCCAAAAUGUUGAUCCUAAAAACUACCAAGCCUAUAUGAUGCGCAGGUCGAGUAAUUAAUAAGUUAACUACGUCAUUCGGUUAUGUGCGGGGCGUGCCAACUUGUUGGUUGAGCUCAGCCGGGGAGUAAAAUUUGUUGAUGUUGCAUUAAGCGCACUACUGACUUUGAUCUUGCAACUGCGGCCCAGGAAGGAACACAUUUCGGCUUUCGGGUUCUAGAACCUGAUGACAAGGCUGCUAGUCUUGCGAAGUUCACAGAUCGUCGGUACCGGGUUCGAUCACGAUGAUUAUAUUCGUGAGAGUAUAAGCAUGUCGAACUGGCUCCAAACUAUACAGACACAAGUACUCAAAAGAGAUAUAUGUCUUGAUAGUAAAUGUCGUUCGGCCGUUAGAAUGCCAAACUUUGAAACUUGCUUGUGAAUAUCCAAUCAUAAACAACUCGGCUUUCAAUGUGUCGAGCCCAAUAAUCUGUAAGGCUAAUGAGAUUACCUCUGCCAAUAAGAACUUGAAAAUUCUUCUUGGUCAAGACUUGGAUAGGUAACCAGUCGGCCUCGACGCAGUGUUGUUUAUCCAAACUGAAUGUGCUUCGGGGUCAGCUAAUUCUACGGCAACAAUGCUAUUUAUCCAAACUAAAGACGUCACUGGUUGCCUUCAUAAUGUUGUUUAUCCAAACUGAAGAUGUGUUGGCAAAAAAGAAAAUAAAAAUCUCAAGAUGUUUGAAAGGUUUCAUGUAGAGCGAGGGUUUGCGCAUGGCAGUUUGUGUGUUGAAUUGGAGGGGGCUUAGAAUGACGUACCCCUUCUUAUUUAUAGCAGCCAAUCUCGACAUGACCGAACCAGAACUACACUUCGAUUAGGAUUCUUCAUCCUAAUCUAACCAGAUCUCGACCAAUCCUUCCUCUAUUAGAACUUUGAACCAAUUUCUUUAUUCGGCCACAUUUACUUCUCAAAUCUUAGCAUCCUCAUUCCAUUGAGACUCCUUAUUAUACUAGGAUUUGACUCACCCCAUCAAUCUGCCUCAUACUAGGAACAUACUGCUGGGCCGAGAACUCCUAACUCGGCCCACACCAAUAUUUUGGGCCCAAACAGAUUUAUACAAAACACUUUAAAAUUUCAUAUAGAAGACAAAACUUAUAAUUUAUCUACUUGUAAGCCUGAAGUUUUUUUGUUCACUUUUCUCGAUGCAAAAUAAAUUAGGUUUUCCGUGUUACUAAAUUACUGAGUUUGAAGUGCUUUUCUAAAUAUAAUUUUAUCGGCGUCUUACAUGUAAAAACAAAUAAUUUUUUUAUAUGGAGUAAGGGCACAUUUUUUGGCAUCGCCCUGGGCCUCAAAAAUCUCUAGACGGACCUUCGUCAUAUAUCAUAUGCGUAAAAACAAAUGCACAUAGGUAUCUAUGUCUGAUUGUUCAUUGGGUAACUUGUUUAGCAAGUCUAUGGUUGCUUCAUGUUCAUAUAAGUUGUAGCUGGUUCUAAGAAAGAAGCUCAAUGCCAAAAGUAAGAGGUUGAGUUGAAGGUUGAAGGUUGAAGUUCGACAGGUUACAAAGGUAGGUUUUAAUAGCAAAGCUUUCGAUUUAUCUGUUUUUUACAUUGUAUUUUAUUUUAGGAUUAAUUUCAGUUACUACCCUAAUUUUUUUAGUUUUCAACAUUUGGUACAUGAAGUUUUUUUCAUCCCAAAGUGGUACAUAAAGUUAUAAUUUUGGGACAUUUUUAUACAUCCAUUAAUGUUGCUGUUAAAUUUGCCAUUAACUGAUAGCGUGGCAUCGACGUGGACAAUGACUAGGCGCCACGUGGAUAUUAAAAAUAAUAAAAUAAUAAAAACUAAAAAAAUUAAAAAACAAACUUUUAGGCAUCUUCUCCCUUACCCCUUCCGACCCCCCUCCCCUCUUUCCUCUGCACCUACCCUUCCCAUUCCCUCUUCGACACCACCCACUCCAUUUCUUUCUCUCUCCCUCCCACAUCUCUCUCUCUAUCAAUGGCCUCCUCCAAGUCCACAUCUCUCAUAAACCCUAUCAGGUUCUGAAUCUCCUCCUGGACCACAUAUCCGCCCGUUUCUUCAGCUCAGUGGCAUCGCCUGGACCACCUCCUGCUCUGCUACUCAUAGCCGCACACAAUUCCUGCUCAUCCCUAUCACCACCGCUGCUCUGUCGCUUCUGUUGUUCUCCUACAUGUCGGAUUGCUACUGGCUAGGGUUUGAGGGUGUAGGGGAGUGGACUAGCAUGCGGGUGUAGCGGAUAAUACGGAACGGAUGAGGAAGACGGGACAAAGGACAAAAGAGUCCACAUCUCUUCUCAACCCUAUCAAGCUUUCGAUUUUCUCUUGGGCCCACGUCUCCGCCCAUUUCUUCAGCCCCAGCAGCACCGCUGGACCGCUUCUUGCUCUGCUGCUCAUAGCCGCACAUAAUUCUUGCUCAUCUCCCUCACCAUUGCUGCUUUGCCACUACUGCUGCUUCUCCAAGAGGUACAUGUCGGAUUACUACCAGCUGGGGUUUUAGGGUGUAGGGGAGUGGAUUGGCAUGCGGGUGUAGCGGAUAAUAUGGAGCGAAUGAGGAAGACGAGAUAAAGGACAAAAAAAAAAGAAAUAGAGUGAGUGGUGUCGAAGAGGAAGGGGGAAAGGUGAGUGCAGAGGAAAGAAGGGAAGGGGUCGGAAGGGGUGAGGGAGAAGACGCCCAAAAGUUUUUUUUUAUAUUUUUUUUAGUUUUUAUUAUUUCAUUUUUUUAAUAUCCACAUGGUGCCUAGUCAUUGUCCACAUGGAUGCCACAUCAUCAGUUAAUGACAAAUUUAACAACAACCUUAACGGAUGUAUGAAAAUGCUAAAAUUAUAACUUUAUGUACCACUCUGGGAUGAAAAAAACUUCAUGUACCAAAUGUUGAAAACCAAGAAACUUUAGAGUAGUAAACUGAGAUUAACCCUUUAUUUUAUCUUUUUUAUGGUGAUAUGUCCCUUUAGCUUCAUGUCUGACAUGUCAUGCUUCUUUUGCCUAAAACUAUCUCAGCUUCCAAGUUAUUCUUGGUUUGGUUACAUCUAAAUGUCUCCAUCAUUUUAGCAGAUCCAUCUUUUUGCUCACUUUUGUGAUGCUUUUCGAUGUCUGAUUACUCAGUUUUUUCGUUCGUCUUGUUAGUUACUCUUGUUUGGGUUAAUAUUUAACAUUGGGCUUUGUAUUAGGGAGAGCCAAAGGCGCCAAAACAAGUCGAACUUUCUCGAAGCCCAGCAUUGGGGCCCGAAGCAAAUUGAAGCCUUUUUUCAGCCAAGGCAUAAGCCAUAUACCUAUGAUUGAAGUGACAAAUGACAGAGACCAACUCACUAUCAGCCAAAAAACACUUUCUAAUUGCAUGGAGGUUUAAAUACAUGAUGACUCACUACCCCUACGAGCCCUCAGCCAAGAACAAAGCCAAAGCAAUCGGGCCAUAUUGUCUAUAAAAGGAGAAAGAGACAUCAGAGACAAAGACACUAAAAAAACCAAUCAAAACAUAUACAAACUUUGCUCUCACGCCAGUUCGUACCUAGAAAGCUGAAACUUGUCCAAAUUCAAUCUUUUUAGCUUUAGUUCCCUUAGAAAAGCUAUCUUUUGUCUAGUGUAAAAGCUCUGCUACCUUCCAUUAGUGUUGUAGUAUCGAUUCCCUCAUGUAAAACCUAUUUACCAUCCAUCAUUUUUUAGCAUUCAACCUCUGUAAACUCAAAGAGAAGUGGUUGCAAGAAGUUCAACCUUGCUUGACAAGGUGAAAUCUUGCCUUAGUCUCUUUGUUUGUACUUUAAUUUAGUAGAUCUGUCCCUUAAUGUACUUUUCAGCAUGUAUUCAAGUUAUUUCCAACUGUUUUCUACCUAAGAGUCCCAUUUGCAUUCGAAUCUAGUUAACUUAAUAAAUCUGUUUUCAUUAAGGACAAACCAUGUUCGAGGAAAUGGUUAAAAGGGCCCUGAACUCCCUUUGUUUUGGACAUACAAGAUUAUGAACUAAAAGUCCUUGUUUACAAGGCAAGAAAAAAAACCUAAUGCAGACUUAACUCAUCUGUGACAAUCCUUUGAUAACAAGAAGUUUAAGUAACUUGGUGCAAGUAAUCAACUUAAUUCACACUUGUUCAACAUUUGUUAUACUGAGAUAACAGUGGCACGCCAAGAUCCUUGUUAGUUUUGAUUGCGAGCCUCAAGGCCUACACCUAAGGCCCCAUAAAUGCACAUUUCAAACUAACUAUUAACUUAUCUUGCAGCACACCAAACAGCAAGAUCCAGCCUGACGACAAACCAAGCAAGUGCCACACCCCGAGGAGUUGUGUGGGAGGAAAUCCUUGCCACGAACAACUCUUAUAUCAAUUAUCCAUUUGCUUUUUCUUCUCAGUUAUUGAUAUAGUUGCCCAUAGCUUAGCUCGAUGACUUAUGUACGUAUGUGCAAAAGCGUACUAAUGAUUGAUCGAGCAAGUUAAUGAUAUGGAAGCAAAUUUCAAGCGUCGCGUAACAACUUUGGAGCGUAGCAUUCCAAAGAAUGAUCCUCCUGCUUGAGAUGAUUACACUCACUUCAUAUUAGCAUUGAGCUUUUUGUCUUUUGUAGUGUUUGAACUUACCGAUAGUUUGUGUUUUAGGAUCUCAACUUAUAACUUGAGAGAUAUUGCUACUCCUAUAACCAAUGUUAACAUCAUGUUGUAACACUUACGGGUAAUAUGUAAGAGAGCAUUUUUUCUCACCACCCUAAACUAGGGUGUAUGCUUACCAUCACUUUCAAAGCUUGACAUAUGUCCACUAAGGCCAUCUCCAACCUAUCUGGCCAUAGGGCCAUAGGGCUAAAAAUAGUGUGAAAUGAUACGAAAACCUUUUCCAACCGAGGGCUAGGCCAUAGGGCUCAUGGGCUCCACUGGACCAAAAAUACCAAAUCAGGCCAACCGGCUAGCCUAAAUGAGUCAGUUAACCAGCCCCGGGCCGGCCUAAAGUUUGAAUUGCAACGGCUAGUUGGCGUCAUGCUGACGCCAAGUAGCUGUUGGAUUUGAUUUUUUUUUUUUGGGACAAAUUUAAAAAAAAAAUCUAACCAAAUCUUUUAGAAAAUCCUUUUAUUUAUUUAUUACAUUUUUGUGCUUAGGUGAAGUUGCUAGUGAGGAAAUUCUUAAUCCUUAUCCGCACAACUCUACUGCUAAGGAGUAUCUGUGAGUGGACCCUUUCUAAAAUUUGCAUAAUUUCAUAGUUUAAUUGCGUAAAUGAAAUGCAUGCCUUACCAGUUAUUAACUGAUCUUUAUGUUAAGCAUGUUUAUGAAAUAUGUUGUUUAUCGUCUCAUUUUUUGUGAGGAAUUAAUUGUUGGCCUAUAUUGAGCUAUAUUUUAAAUUAUCGUAUUUUCUAUAAAAACCAUAAACUGGUAGACUAUCUGAUGGAUGACGAUAGGAUGCUAGAACAUGUUUUAGAAACCCCUUUUUAUAGUAUAGACGAUGGAUGACUUUAUACUAUGAAGUGGUUAUUUUUUAGAGGCGUAACUAUUUGUGCGUACCUAGUGGACACUAUGCUGCCUGGGGUGAGGAUCUAGUGUUGGUAGAUAGGCCAAGAGAAAUAAUCUCUAGCUACGGGCUGAGGGACACGGAGCAGGCAUUGGGCCGGGAGUUGGUAAUCUCUGGCUACAGGCGCAGAGACCACGGUGCUGGCAUAGGACCGGGAGAUAUAUAUUUAUUCAAUGAUCUUACUAGUAGUACAUCGCAUUACGAGACGAUCUGUGAGACGUUUGAUAUUUUGUGUUCUACGAUGUCUGUUGAGAUAUUUUUGGCAUGCUAGGGUUUUCAGUAAAACCAUCAUUUAUUAUACUAGUAGUUUUCUUUAAAUAAAUUGUAGAGGUUAGUAUCUUGAUAACUAUUUUAUUAUUAUUAUAUAUAUGAACUUGGUCCACUCACCUUUGUUUUGCACCCCCAUUCAGGUUUUAGAAACGGUGAUUACGAUGCGACGUACGAGGCAUUCCCCUACCAAUAGCAGUUUAUCACUCACUUAAGUGAUAUCUUGUAAUGACCUUUCCUUUUGUGAUCUUGUUUUAGAACGUGUGCUGGGCACUCUAGACAUUUCAUUAAACCUUGUUUAUUACUUCUAGAUUUUAAUGUUUAUUCAUGAAUAUUUCCCCCUAAUCAUUACUCUUGUAUUCUAUAAAUGGCUUUCGUCACCCUUUGGUGUCAACCAGCACGUGCCUAUCCGGGUAUUCGGGGAAUAUCGGGGUCGGGACAUGUCACAGUGAAAUCUGAAUAACUGCUGAAUUGGUCGGGGGACUGCACCGAACUUCGUUCCACAAACAUGGGUUCGGUUCUUUGUUGACGUCCCAUGAAACAACACCACCAGCAGAAGUGUUGAGGUUGUUGGAGAGAACGAUCAUGGCGGUUCGCUGGUUUGAGGAUAGUGCAGAGAACACCACAGAAACAGGAAGGUAGCAGAACAAGGACAAGAAGAAAUGGAAGUUGAAAUACAGGACAAGUGAGGUGGCUUGGCGGCCAUAGCUCCUUAUUUUCCGGUUACAAAGAUUGUGCGAGGGAGAUUUGUAGUAUGUAUACUAUAGUUUAUGUGAUUUUUCAGGUGGAAGGAGGAGAGAUAGAGAGAGGAGAGAGAGAGGAUCAGAGGUAGAUGUCUGUGUGUUAGGUUAUGGAAUGUUUGGGGGAACAAGAAAGUUUGUGGGAGCAGGGAACAAGGUGAAAGAAGAGAAAAACGCUGGGCGUGUUGGUUGGGAUAGGGGAGCGGAGUUGACUUGCACUGUUGACCAAUGGUUCUGUUUCUUGCAAAGACUUUAAAUGGAGAGUUAAAAAACAGGUGGUCUCUACAAUGUGGAGUGUGGAAUUAAACUCCACCAAGCGAUUUUUUAGCAGGGGCUUCUUGUUAUUGGCAUCGUGAUCGGUAAAUUUAAAUUACGAAUUUUUUUUUUUGGAAAAGGCUUCUUCUAAUUUAAUACAAACUAAAAGAUAUACAGAUACUAUAGUUUAUGUGAUUUUUCAGGUGGAAGGAGGAGAGAUAGAGAGAGGAGAGAGAGAAGAUCAGAGGUAGAUGUCUGUGUGUUGGGUUAUGGAAUGUUUGGGGGAACAGGAAAGUUUGUGGGAGCAGGGAACAAGGUGAAAGAAGAGAAAAAUACUGGGCGUGUUGGUUGGGAUAGGGGAGCGGAGUUGACUUGCACUGUUGACCAAUGGUUCUGUUUCUUGCAAAGACUUUAAAUGGAGAGUUAAAAAACGAGUGGUCUCUACAAUGUGGAGUGUGGAAUUAAACUCCAC